This 70005-nucleotide long non-coding RNA is filed under the name Triticum aestivum (bread wheat). RNAcentral's name for it is "long non-coding RNA (TAES_LNC018682)". The stretch from base 57340 to 57464 matches the Rfam family "MIR1120/MIR1122 microRNA precursor family". Lineage: Eukaryota; Viridiplantae; Streptophyta; Magnoliopsida; Poales; Poaceae. The record is from RNAcentral.
UUGAUGACCGACACGUAAGCGCACCUUGGCUUUUGUCAAUCGUGGAAAUCACUCUGAGACCCCAAAACAGUGAGUAAUAGUCCAUGAAACGGGUCAGAAUCGGGCACAACUGCGAGUGUCUAUGACCGGCACGUAAGCGCACCUUGGGGUUUGUCAAUCAUGGAAAUCACUCUGAGACCCCAAAAUAGUGAGUAAUCAUCCACGAAACGGGCCACAGUCGGUCGAAACUGUGAGUGUUGAUGACUGACACGUAAGUGCACCUUGGGGUUCGUCAAUCGUGGCAAUCACUUCGAUCUCANNNNNNNNNNAUCGUGGGACUCACUCCGGGACCCCAAAACAGUGAGUAAUAGUCCACAAAACGGGCCAGAAUCGGCCGAAACUACGAGUGUUGAUGACCGACACGUAAGCACACCUUGGGGUCCGUCAAUCGUGGGACUCACUCGGGACCCCAAAACAGUGAGUAAUAGUCCACUAAACGGGCAAGAAUCGGCCGAAACUACGAGUGUUGAUGACCGACACGUAAGCGCACCUUGGGGUUCGUCAAUCGUGGAAAUCACUCCGGGACCGCAAAACAGUCAGUAAUAGUCCACGAAACGGGCCAGAACCGGCCAAAACUACGGGUGUUGAUGACAGACACGUAAGCGCACCUUGGGGUUCAUCAAUCGUGGGACUCACUUUGGGACCCCAAAACAGUGAGUAAUAGUCCACGAAACGGGCCAGAAUUAGCCAAAACGGUGAGUGUUGAUGACCGACACGUAAGCGCACCUUGGGGUUCGUCAAUCAUGGAAACCACUCCGGGACACCAAAACAGUGAGUAACAGUCCACGAAACGGGCCAGAGCCAGCCAAAACUGCGAGUNNNNNNNNNNAACUGCGAGUGUCUAUGACCGGCACGUAAGCGCACCUUGGGGUUUGUCAAUCAUGGAAAUCACUCUGAGACCCCAAAAUAGUGAGUAAUCAUCCACGAAACGGGCCACAGUCGGUCGAAACUGUGAGUGUUGAUGACUGACACGUAAGUGCACCUUGGGGUUCGUCAAUCGUGGCAAUCACUUCGAUCUCACAAAACAGUGAGUAAUAGUCCAUGAAACGGGCCAGAAUCGGCCAAAACUGCGAGUGUUGAUGACCUACACGUAAAUGCACCUCAGGCUUCGUUAAUCGUGGAAAUCACUCUAAGACCCCAAAACAGUGAGUAAUAGUCCACGAAACGGGCCAAAAUCGGCCAAUACUGCAAGUGUUGAUGGACUUGAGGUAUCGCACGUUGGGGUUCAACAACCAUGCAAAUCGCUUCGGGACCCCAAAACGGGGAGUAAUAGUCCACGAAACGGGACAGAACCGGCCAAAACUGCUUGUGUUUAUGACCGACACAUAAGCACACCUUGGGGUUCAACAACUAUGCAAAUCACUUUGAGACCCCAAAACAAAGAGUAAUAGUCCAUGAAAUGGGCGAGAAUCGGCCAAAACUGUGAGUAUCCAUGACCGACAUGUAAGCGAUCCUUGGCUUUUGUCAAUCAUGGAAAUCACUCCGAGACCCCAAAACAGUGAGUAAUAAUCCAUGAAACGGGCCAGAAUCAGCCAAAACUGCGAGUGUUGAUGACCGACACGUAAGCACACCUUGGGGUUCGUCAAUCGUGGAAAUCACUCAGAGAUCCCAAAACAGUGAGUAAUAGUCCACGAAAUGGGCCAAAAUCGGCCAAACUGCGAGUGUUGAUGACCGACACGUAAGCGCACCUUGGNNNNNNNNNNNNNNNNNNNNNNNNNNNNNNNNNNNNNNNNNNNNNNNNNNNNNNNNNNNNNNNNNNNNNNNNNNNNNNNNNNNNNNNNNNNNNNNNNNNNNNNNNNNNNNNNNNNNNNNNNNNNNNNNNNNNNNNNNNNNNNNNNNNNNNNNNNNNNNNNNNNNNNNNNNNNNNNNNNNNNNNNNNNNNNNNNNNNNNNNNNNNNNNNNNNNNNNNNNNNNNNNNNNNNNNNNNNNNNNNNNNNNNNNNNNNNNNNNNNNNNNNNNNNNNNNNNNNNNNNNNNNNNNNNNNNNNNNNNNNNNNNNNNNNNNNNNNNNNNNNNNNNNNNNNNNNNNNNNNNNNNNNNNNNNNNNNNNNNNNNNNNNNNNNNNNNNNNNNNNNNNNNNNNNNNNNNNNNNNNNNNNNNNNNNNNNNNNNNNNNNNNNNNNNNNNNNNNNNNNNNNNNNNNNNNNNNNNNNNNNNNNNNNNNNNNNNNNNNNNNNNNNNNNNNNNNNNNNNNNNCCACGAAACAGGCCAGAAUCGGCCAAAACUGCGAGUGUUGAUGACCGACACGUAAACGCACCUCGGGGUUCGUCAAUCGUGGAAAUCACUCCGAGACCCCAAAACAGUGAGUAAUAGUCCACCAAACGGGCUAGAAUCGGCCAAAACUGCGAGCGUUGAUGACCGACAUGUAAGUGCACCUUGGCUUUCGUGAAUCGUGGAAAUCACUCCGAGUCCCCUAAAGAGUGAGUAAUAGUCCACAAAACGGGCUAGAAUCGGCCAAAACUACGAGUGUUGAUGACCGACAGGUAAGUGCACCUUGGGGUUCAACAACUAUGCAACAAGUAUAGGGGGUCGCAAUAGUUUCCGAGGGUAGAGUAUUCAACCCAAAUUUGUUGAUUCGACACAAGGGGAGCCAAAGAAUAUUCUCAAGUAUUAGCAGGUGAGUAGUCAAUUCAACCACACCUGGAAACUUAGUAUCUGCAGCAAGGUGUUUAGUAGCAAAGUAAUAUCAUAGUGGUGGUAAUGGUAACAAAAGUAAAGACAGCAAAAGUAAUGUUUUUUUGUAUUUUGUAUUGAUUGUAACAAUAACAACGGAAAAGUAAAUAAGCGAGAACCAGUAGAUGGAAAACUCGUAGGCACCGGAUCAAUGAUGGAUAAUUAUGUCGGAUGUGGUUCAUCAUGUAAUAGUCAUAACAUAGGGUGACACAGAACUAGCUCCACUUCAUCAAUGUAAUGUAGGCAUGUAUUCCGAAUAUAGUCAUACGUGCUUAUGGAAAAGAACUUGCAUGACAUCUUUUGUCCUUGGCUUAAUCUCGGGUCAAUAUGCUUAAUCUCAGUUCAAAUCGCACUCCGUGGUCAAACUUCCCGAAAGGUCACCCAUCCUCAAACUACUCCAGCCCAAGCACGCUUAACUUCAGAGUUCUAUCCAACCCCAGCAACAGCUCACUUCACAGGCACUUGUUGAUAUAUCUAGCAUAUCAAUCCUAUUAUACCUUGUUGAUGUCUAGGACUUUGUUCAUGUUCAUGACUAUGAUGAAAUUUUGAAAAAUAUUUCAAACUUCCCGGUCAUAUUACGUAUCAUUUUUUGAAAAAAAAUUCAAAAAAAAUGAAAACCAAUUUAUUUUUUUCUGUUACUAGUGGCGCACCACAUCCACGGUGCGCCACUAGUAAGUUUGAAAUUUUUUGAAUUUUUUUGCCUCUAGAUCUUGAAAGCCUCGUAACUUUUUUCUGUUAGGUUUUUGGUGAUUUUGAAAAUGUUUAACGUGGUUCCCCCAGUUAAAUUUGGAUGUAACUUUUCGAGUAGAUGAUUCUUCAUAUAAAAAACUUUUUCAUCCGAGUUCGUAUGCAAAAGUUAUGCCCAUUUUACAAAUUUCCAGAGAGAUUUUGCAAAUAAAGUCGAAAUUCAUAUUUGUAAAUUUUCCCAACAACUAGACCACAUAUCACAUGGGAAACUUAUUUUCUUUUAUUUUUUGACAUUUCCAUCAUUUUCUUUUAUUUUUUUUAAAUUGAAAAGGCGAUCCACACGGGGGGGUGCAUUCGGCAACUUUUGGGCCAAGUUAGUAAUGGCGCACCGUGGGGUGGUGCGCCAUUGAUAGUUAAACUAAUAAUGGCGCACCACACCCACUGUCCACAGGUGCGCCAUUACUAACAAAAAAAAUUUCAAAACUACUAAUGGCGCACGGUGGGUGUGGUGCGCCAUUACUAUGUCAACAUAGUAAUGGCGCACCACACCCAUCGUGCGCCAUUAAUAGUUUUGAAAAAAUUUAAAAAAAUUUACUAAUGGCGCACCGUGGGAUGUGGUGCGCCAUUAGUACUUGCACACUAAUGGCGCACCAACACAUGGUGCGCCAUUAGUAUUUAGUAAUGGCGCACCACAUGUACAGUGCGCCAUUAGUGUCCAUCCCAUCUAUAGCCCUUUUCCUAGUAGUGACUCCUCAAACUGUGGUCAUCACCGAGAAGUAUCCCGAUUAUUGUCACUUCGGGGUUGUCGAAUCAUAACACAUAAUAGGUGACUAUAGACAUGCAAGAUAGGAUCAAGAACACACAUAUAUUCAUGAAAACAUAAUAGGUUCAGAUCUGAAAUCAUGGCACUCGGGCCCUAAUGACAAGCAUUAAGCGUAGCAAAGUCAUAGCAACAUCAAUCUUAGAACAUAGUGGAUACUAGGGAUCAAACCCUAACAAAACUAACUCGAUUACAUGAUAAAUCUCAUCCAACCCAUCACCGUCCAGCAAGCCUACGAUGGAAUUACUCACGCACGGCGGUGAGCAUCAUGAAAUUGGUGAUGGAGGAUGGUUGAUGAUGAUGACGGCGACGAAUCCCCCUCUCUGGAGCCCCGAACGGACUCCAGAUCAUCCCUCCCGAGAGAGAUUAGGGCUUGGCGGCGGCUCCGUAUCGUAAAACGCGAUGAAACUUUUCGCUCUCCUUUUUUUCUCCCUGAAAGCCAGUUGGAGUUGGCGUCGGAGGGCAUCCAGGGGGCCCACGAGGUAGGAGGGCGCGCCCGGGGGGAGGGGCGCGCCCCCCACCCUCGUGGACAGGGUGUGGGCCCCCUAGUCUUCAUCUUUGGCGAGGAUUUUUUAUUAUUUAUUCUAAGAUAUUCCGUGGAGUUUCAGGUCAUUCCGAGAACUUUUGUUUUCUGCACAUAAAACAACAUCAUGGCAAUUCUGCUGAAAACAACGUCAGUCCGGGUUAGUUCCAUUCAAAUCAUACAAGUUAGAGUCCAAAGCAAGGGCAAAAGUGUUUGGAAAAGUAGAUACGAUGGAGACGUAUCAACUCGCCCAAGCUUAAACCCUUGCUUGUCCUCAAGCAAUUCAGUUGAUAAACUGAAAGAGAAAAAAGAAAAACUUGUACAAACACUGUUUGCUCUUGUUGUUGUAAACAUGAAAAGCCAGCAUUCAAGUCUCAGCAAUUAUUAUGAACUAACCAUACUCACAAUGACACGUAGGUCUCACAAUUACUCAUAUCAAUAGCAUAAUCAGCUAGCAAGCCAUAAUAAUAAAACUCGGAUGACAACACUUUCUCAAAAUAAUCAUAACAUGAUAUAACAAAAUGGUAUCUUGCUAGCCCUUUCUGAGACCGCAAAACAUAAAUGCAGAACACCUUUAAAGAUCAAGGACUGAGUAAACAUUGUAAUUCAUGGUAAAAUAGAUCCAAUCAAGUCAUACCCAAUAUAAACCAAUAAUGAUGAAUGCAAACGACAGUGUGCUCUCCAGCGGGUGCUUUUUGCGUAUACUCCAAUAAGAAGGAUGAUGACUCAACAUAAAAGUAAAUAGAUAGGCCCUUCGCAGAGGGAAGCAGGGAUUUGUAGAGGUGCUAGAGGUCGAUUUUGAAAUAGAGAUAAAUUAUAUUUUGAGCGCAUACUUUCACUGUCAACGCAACAACAAUGAGAUGGUUGUAUCUUCCAUACUACAUGCAUUAUAGGCAGUUCCCAAACAGAAUGGUAAAGGUUUAUACUCCCCCUCCUCCACAAGCAUCAAUCCAUGGCUUGCUCAAAACAAUGAGUGCCUCCAACAUUCAACAGGUCCCAUGGGAGUUUUGUUUAAUUAUUUUGAUUUGCUUCGAUCUUUUUGGAUCAUGGGACUGGGCAUCCCGGUUACCGGCCCUUUCUCGUGAAUGAGGAGCGGAGUCCACUCCUCUUGAGAAUAACCCACCUAGCAUGGAAGAUAUAGGCAGCCCUAGUUUCACAUGAGCUGCUCGAGCAUACAAAACAAAAAUUCAUUUGAAGGUUUGGAGUUUGGCACAUACAAAUUUACUUGGAACGGCAGGUAGAUACCGCAUAUAGGAAGGUAUAGUGGACUCUUAUGGAACAACUUUGGGGUUUAAGGAGUUCGGAUGCACAAGCAGUAUUCCCACUUAGUACAGGUGAAGGCUAGCAAAAGACUGGGAAGAGACCAACUGAGAGACGGACAACAGUCGUAAACAUGCAUCAAAAUUAAUUUACACCGAAUACAAGCAUGAGUAGGAUAUAAUCCACCAUGAACUUAAAUAUCAUGAAGGCUAUGUUGAUACGAUUCAACUACACGUGUGAACAUGUGCCAAGUCUAGUCACUCAAUUCAUUUAAAGGAGGAUACCAUCCCAUCAUACCACAUCAUAAUCAUUCUAAUAGCAUGUUGGCACGCAAGGUAAACCAUUAUAACUCAUAGCUAAUCAAGCAUGGCACAAGCAACUAUAAUCUCUAUAAGUCAUUGCAAAUAUGUUUAGUUCAUAAUAGCUGAAUCAGGAACGAUGAAUCAUCAUAUUUACAAAAACAAGAGAGGUCGAGUUCAUACCAGCUUUUCUCAUCCCAAUAAGUCCACCAUAUAUCAUCAUUAUUGCCUUUCACUUGCACGACCGAAUGGUGUGCAUAAUAAUAAGAGUGGACGUGCAUUGGACUAAGCUGGAAUCUGCAAGCAUUCAACUCAAGAGAGAAGACAAGUAAUAUGGGCUCUAUGUUAGAUAAGCAUUAAAGCAUAUAAGAGCCACUAAGCAUUUUCAAUAUAGUCUUCUUGACCCCCAAAGAAAGGAAAAGAAAUAAAAACUAUUUACACGGGAAAGCUCCCAACAAGCAAAAAAACAGGAAAUACUUUUGGGUUUUCUUUUUAAUUAUUACUACUACAGCAGGAAAAAUAGACUAACUAAUUUUUUUUGUUUUUCUAAAGGUUUAUCAAACACACAAGAAGAAAGCUAGAAAAAGAAAUUAAACUAGCAUGGAUAUUACAGUGAAAGAGUAUGAGCACCGACAUCUAUCAAUGAGUGUGUGUGAACAUAAAUGUAAUGUCGGUGAGAAAUACGUACUCCCGCAAGCUUAGGCUUUUGGCCUAAGUUGGUCUAUUGCCAGGGAUAGCCUGGCUGAUACCCGUAGGUGUAGCUGGGGUCGUACUACGAUGUAGAGGAGUCUGAUUGCCACUGGCUGGCAACCGCCUCAGGAUCCCAAGAAUAAACAGACAUUCGUCGAGGCCCAUCUUGUGGCUCUGGUUCCGGGGCUGGUGCAGGAUUCCGAUAGGCUUGAACGGCCGCCCACGGAACAAUGUAAGAACCUGUAGACAAGUUAAACAAAGAGGGAGCAGGCAAAGUAAUAGUCUCAGGGUGAUGUUUAUCAAAGUACAAUUUAUAUUUAAGCUCCCCUUCGCGACUCUUAACAAGAAAAUCAUGCGCUAGCAUACUCUUAUAAUCUAAAUAAGCAUGGGGCAGCGUUGUUUCUUGUUUCUUCUCAUGCCUAAUAGGUAUCUCAAAAUAUUCAGCUAGGCGCGAAGCAUAAAUGCCUCCAAAGAUGGGGCCCUUAGUACGGUUCAGACUUAACCGUCUAGCAACAAUUCCACCCAUACUAACAGAGUUAUUGCGGUAUAAACCAUGGAACAAAAUGAUAAUAUCAGGAAUGCUAAGGUUUCCACAGUUCCCGCGACCAAUCAAGCAACGACUAGCAAAUAAGGCAAAGUAGCGUAAAACAGGAAAAUGUAUGCUAGUAAUUCUUGCAACGGAAACCUUACUGGUUUCUCCCAUAGUGAUAGUGUUAAUAAAAGCUUCUACUUCAUUACGGUGUGGUUCAUCUAAGGUGCCCUCAAAGGGUAUUUUGCAAACCUCGCAAAAUUCAGCUAAUGGCAUCUCUUUAACAACGUCAUAUAAAUGAAACUCUACUGUUGGAGGUGAUUUCUUAGGGAAAAAGUAGAAGUUCUGCACAAAAGUAUUUGUGAGUAAGAGAUACUGAUGACGUUGGUCGCGGAGGAAGUCGGUGAGGCCGACGUUCUCAAUUAAUAGAUAGAAAUUCUCAUAAAUCCCUGCACUCCUCAAGAAUUCAUCGGAAGGCCAUUCACACGGCCGGACGUCCGCGGUGCGAGGCAAAUUAAAUUUGGGCUUCUGCUCUUCUUCCUUUUGUUUUUCCUUCGAGCUUCGGCUCGACGAGCCCCUCAAAAAUCUCUUCAUUAUUUUUUGAAACAAUCUGAAAUUUUUAGUAACUUCAAAUAAAUGUGAACCAAUUUCAGUAAAAUUUAUAGUAACAACUCCCACAAGUGCCUAGAGCCUAUAUAGAGCAUUAGAACUACUUGGAACCAUAUAAAUUUGACAUGCAAGCUCAAGAACAUGGUCACCUAUGCAGCACAAGUUUGCAAUGAAUAAAUCACUAGAACAAAAACUAAUUGGACCAAUGGAGGAGUCACAUACCAAGGAACAAUCUCCCCAAGCAGUUUUGCGAGAGGUGCUUUGAGCAAGGAGAUCGAAAAUCGCAGCAAAAGUUGCUGGAACACGAGCUUGAGUUGGUUUUUCGGGUUUGUGUGAGACAGAGGAAGAAGAUGGAUGCAGGGAUAAGUGGAGGAGGUCCACCGUGGGCCCACGAUGCAGGGGGGCGCGCCCAGGGGGGUAGGGCGCGCCCUCCACCCUCGUGACCAGGUAGCAGCUCCUCCCGCGGUAAUUUUUGCACUAAAAAUCCUCAAAUAUUCCCGAAAAAAUCAUAUUAAAUUGGCAUGGCAUUCUGAGGACUUUUAUUUUCGGAAUAUUUUUAUAUUGCACGGAUAAGUCGGGAGACAGACAGGAAAAUACUAUUUUACUUUAUUUCUAAUAAGUAACAGAAAAUAUAAAGAGGGUACAGAAGGUUGUGCUUCUAGUUUCAUCCAUCUCAUGCUCAUCAAAAGGAAUCCACUAACAAGGUUGAUCAAGUCUUGUUAACAAACUCAUUCCGAUUAACAUGAAACCGGAGAAAUUUCGAAUAACACUAUGUUACCUCAACGGGGAUAUGGACAUCCCCAAUAAUAAGUAUAUCAUAUUUCUUCUUGACAGCGGGGAGAGGAAAUUCAAAACCUCCAAAUAUAAUCGAAGGAAUUUUUCCAAUAGAGUUGAUACUAUAAACUUGAGGUUGUUUCCUCGGAAAGUGUACCGUGUGCUCAUUACCAUUAACAUGAAAAGUGACAUUGCCUUUGUUUCAAUCAAUAACAGCCCCUGCAGUAUUAAGGAAAGGUAUUCCAAGAAUAAUAGACAUACUAUCAUCCUCAGGAAUAUCAAGAAUAACACAGUCCGUUAAAAUAGUAACGUUUGCAACCAGAACAGGCACAUCCUCACAAAUACCGACAGGUAUAGCAGUUGAUUUAUCAGCCAUUUACAAAGAUAUUUCAGUAGGUGUGAACUUAUUCAAGUCAAGUCUACGAUAUAAAGAGAGAGGCAUAACGCUAACACCGGCUCCAAGAUCACAUAAAGCAGUUUUAACAUAAUUUCUUUUAAUGGAGCAUGGUUUAGUAGGUACUCCUGGAUCUCCAAGUUUCUUUGGUAUUCCACCCUUAAAAGUAUAAUUAGCAAGCAUAGUGGAUAUUUCAGCUUCAGGUAUCUUUCUUUUAUUAGUAAUAAUAUCCUUCAUAUACUUAGAAUAAGGAUUUGUUUUGAGCACAUCAGUUAAUCGCAUACGCAAAAAGAUGGGUCUAAUCAUUUCAGCAAAGCGAUUAAAAUCCUCAUCAUCCUUUUUCUUGGAUGGUUUCAGGGGAAAAGGCAUGGGUUUUUGAACCCAUGGUUCCCUUUCUUUACCAUGCUUCCUAGCAAUGAAGUUUCUUUUAUCAUAGUGUUGAUUCCUUGAUUGUGGGUUAUCAAGAUCAACAGCAAGUUCAACUUCUACAUCAUUAUCAUUACUAGGUUGAGAAUCAACAUGAACAUUAUCAUUAACAUUUUCACUAGGUUCAUGUUCAUCACCUGAUUGUGUUUCAGCAUCAGAAAUAGAAAUAUCAUUUGGAUUAUCAGGUGGUUCAGCAAUAGGUUCACUAGAAGUUUGCAUAGUACUAUCAUUUUUCUUUUUCUUCCUUUUAGAAGAACUGGGCAUAUCAACAUUAUUUCUCUGUGAAUCUUGCUCGAUUCUCUUAGGGUGGCCUUCAGGAUACAAAGGUUCCCGAGUCAUUCUACCAGUUCUAGUAGCCACUCUAACGGCAUAAUCAUUUUUCUUACUAUUCAUUUCAUUAAGCACUUCUUUCUAAGCUUUAAGUACUUAUUCUACUUGAGUGGUAACCAUAGAAGCAUGUUUGCUAACCAGUUUAAGUUCACCUCUAAUAUUAGCCAUAUAAUCACUUAAGCGUUUAAUCAUAAAGGUAUUCUGUUUUAAUUGUCUACCAAAAUAAGCAUUAAAGUCAUCUUGCUUAAACAUAAAUUCAUCAAACUAAUCCAAGCACUGACUAGCAAUUUUAGUAGGAGGGACUUUAGUUUUAUCAUAUCUGUAGAGAGAAUUUACCUUUACUACCUGUGUCGGGAUACCGGGAGGUUCUUCAGUAAAUAAGUAAUUGAGAUCAUAUACUUCUUCAACUGGCGGUAAAUUAAGGCCAUGUAUUUCUUCAAUAGGAGGUAAAUUCUUAACAUCUUCAGCUUUAAUACCUUUUUCUUUCAUAGAUUUCUUUGCCUCUUGCAUAUCUUCGGGACUGAGAAAUAGAACACCUCUCUUCUUCGGAGUUGGUUUAGGAAUAGGCUCAGUAAUUGGCUCGGGAGUUGGCUCAGGAGGUGCCCAAUUAUUUUCAUUUGUCAACAUAUUAUUCAAUAGAAUUUCAGCUUCAUCCGGUGUUCUUUCCCUGAAAAGAGAACCAGCACAGCUAUCCAGGUAAUCUCUAGAAGCAUCAGUUAGUCCAUUAUAAAAGAUAUCAAGUAUUUUAGGUUUCUUAAGAGCAUGAUCAGGAAAAGCAUUAAGUAACUUGAGAAGCAUCCCCCAAGCUUGUGGGAGACUCUCCUCUUCAAUUUGCACAAAAUUAUAUAUAUCCCUCAAAGCAGUUUGUUUCUUAUGAGCAGGGAAAUAUUUAGCAGAGAAGUAAUAAACCAUAUCCUGGGGACUUUGCACACAACCAGGAUCAAGAGAAUUAAACCAUAUCUUAGCAUCACCCUUUAAUGAGAACGGAAAUAUUUUGAGUAAAUAAAGGUAGCGUGAUCUCUCAUUAUUAGUAAACAGGGCAUCUAUAUCAUCUAACUUACGAAGAUGUGCCAUAACAGUUUCAGAUUCAUAGUCAUAAAAAGGAUCAGAUUGAACCAAAGUAAUUAUAUCUGGAUCAACAGAAAAAUCAUAAUAAUCCUGAUCAGGAACACAGAUAGGUGAAGUAGCAAAAGCAGGGUCAGGUCUCAUCCUACCUCUAAAAGAUUCUUUACUCCAUUUAACUAGCAACCUAUUACGUUCAAGACUAUCCUAGCAAGCAAGAAUAGCUUCAGCAGAUUCAGCAUUAAAAAGGUAACCCUCAAGAAUAGCAGGCCUAUUUUCAUCAUCACUAACAUCAUCGUGUUCAGUUUCAAUAAUUUCUCUUUCUCUAGACUUAGAAAUUUGUUCAUCUAGAAAUUCACCAAGAGGCACAGUAGUAUCAAGCAUAGAAGUAGUUUCAUCAUAAGUAUCAUGCAUAGCAGAAGUGCCAUUAUCAAUAACAUGCGACAUAUUGGAACGAAUAGCAGAAGCAGGUUUAGGUGUCGCUAGCUUGUUUAUAACAGAAGGUGAAUCAAGUGCAGAGCUAGAUGGCAGUUCCUUAUCUCCCCUCGUAGUUGAGGGAUAAAUAGUUGUCUUAGCGUCUUUCAGGUUCUUCAUAGUGUCCAGCAGAUAUAAAUCCCAAGUGACUAAAAGAAUAGAGCUAUGUUCCCCGGCAAUGGCACCAGAACAAGGUCUUGAUAACCCACAAGUAUAGGGGAUCACAACAGUUUUCGAGGGUAGAGUAUUCAACCCAAAUUUGUUGAUUCAACACAAGGGGAGCCAAAGAAUAUUCUCAAGUAUUAGCAGCUGAGUUGUCAAUUCAACCACACCUGGAAACUUAGUAUCUGCAGCAAAGUGUUUAGUAGCAAAGUAAUAUGAUAGUGGUGGUAAUGGUAACAAAAGUGAAGACAGCAAAAGUAAUGUUUUUGGUAUUUUGUAGUGAUUGUAACAGUAACAAUGGAAAAGUAAAUAAGCGAGAACCAGUAUAUGAAACACUCGUAGGCACCGGAUCAAUGAUGGAUAAUAAUGCCGGAUGUGGUUCAUCAUGUAAUAGUCAUAACAUAGGGUGACACAGAACUAGCUCCAGUUCAUCAAUGUAAAGUAGGCAUGUAUUCCGAAUAUAGUCAUACAUGCUUAUGGAAAAGAACUUGCAUGACAUCUUUUGUCCUACCCUCCCGUGGGAGCGGGGUCCUAUUGGAAACUAAGGGAUAUUAAGGCCUCCUUUUAAUAGAGAACCGGAACAAAGCAUUAGCACAUAGUGAAUACAUGAACUCCUCAAACUAUGGUCAUCACCGAGAAGUAUCCCGAUUAUUGUCACUUCGGGGUUGUCGGAUCAUAACACAUAAUAGGUGACUAUAGACUUGCAAGAUAGGAUCAAGAACACGCAUAUACUCAUGAAAACAUAAUAGCUUCAGAUCUGAAAUCAUGGCACUCGGGCCUUAGUGACAAGCAUUAAGCACAGCAAAGUCAUAGCAACAUCAAUCUCAGAACAUAGUGGAUACUAGGGAUCAAACCCUAACAAAAAUAACUUGAUUACAUGAUAAAUCUCAUCCAACCCAUCACCGUCGAGCAAGCCUACGAUGGAAUUACUCACGGACGGCUGUGAGCAUCAUGAAAUUGGUGAUGGAGGAUGGUUGAUGAUGACGACGGCGACGAAUCCCCCUCUCCGGAGCCCCAAACAGACUCCAGAUUAGCCCUCCCGAGAGAGAUUAGGGCUUGGCGGCGGCUCCGUAUUGGAAAACGCGAUGAAACUUCUCUCUCUGAUUAUUUUCUCCCCGAAAGCCAAUAUAUGGAGUUGGAGUUGGCGUCGGAGGGCAUCCAGGGGGGCCACGAGGUAGGGGGCGCCCCCAGGGGGGAGGGGCGCGCCCCCCACCCUUGUGGACAAAGUGUGGGGCCCCUGGUCUUCAUCUUUGGUGAGGAUUUUUUAUUAUUUAUUCUAAGAUAUUCCGUGGAGUUUCAGGUCAUUCCGAGAACUUUUGUUUUCUGCACAUAAAAUAACAUCAUGGUAAUUCUGCUGAAAACAGCGUCAGUCCGGGUUAGGUCCAUUCAAAUCAUACAAGUUAGAGUCCAAAACAAGGGCAAAAGUGUUUGGAAAAGUAGAUACGAUGGAGACGUAUCAGGACCCCAAAACGAGGAGUAAUAGUCCAUGAAACGGGCCAGAAUCGACCAAAACUGCGAGUGUUGAUGACCGACACGUAAGCGCACCUUCGUCAAUCGUGGAAAUCACUCCGAGACCCCAAAACAGUGAGAGAAUCCCCUUGCAUAAAUGUUCUUUCUCCCCGGCAACGGCGCUAGAAAGUUCUUUGAUUCCUGGUGUCUCACAACACAAGACCCGUUAAGGAACCCCAAGAGGAAGGUAUGAUGAGUACAGCAGAAAGCUUUCCCUCAGUAUGAAACCAAAGUUUAACCGACCAGUAAGAGAAAGAAACCCAUGUCAGCAACAACAUGGAACCUACACACAACACAACCAAAAUACUUUGUACCAACUUAAUAGUGAGGUUGUCAAUCUCACAGGUUUUGCUGAAAACAAAGGAUUAGAUGUGUGGUGCGGAAAAGGUAAUUGUUUGAAGUGAAUGAAAUAGAACAAACAGUAAGAAAGUAGUAGUUGCAGCAGAUGGUACUAUCAGUGUAAAAGAAUGGUCCAGGGUCCACAGUUCACUAGAGGUAUCUCUCCAUAAGAUAAGUAACAUGUUGGGUGAACAAAUUACAGCUGGGCAAUUGACAAAUAGAGAAUGCAUAACAAUGCAUGUACAUGACAUGAUGAUCACUAUGAGAUUCACUUGGGCAUUACAACAUGAUACAUAGACUGUAUCCAACUUCAUAUAUGACUAAUAAUCCACCUCCGAGAUAUCAUCUGAACAACCUUUGGGUAUUAAGUUGCAAGCAACAGAUAAUUGCAUCAAGCAAAGUGUGUAAUGUAAACAAUACAAUUGCCCUUGGAAUAAGGAUUGUUGUUUUCCCCUAGUAGCAACAACAGAUCUACAACCUUAAAAGUUUUUGUCACUCUCCCAGAUUACUAGAGGCAUGAACCUACUAUCGAGCACAAAUACUCCCUCUUAGAAUCACAAGCAAAUACUUGGCCAGAGUAACUACUUGCAACAGAGAGCAUGCAAGAUCAUAAAUAACAUAGAAUGAUAGAUCAAUAAUCAACUUGACAUAAUACUCAAUAUUCAUCGGAUCCCAGCAAACACAGCAUGUAGCAUUACAAUAAGAUGAUCUUGAUCAUGUUAGGCAGCUCACAAGAUCUGAACAUGUUGGCACAAAUAGGAGGAGACAACCAUCUAGCUACUGCUAUGGACCCAUAGUCCAAAGAUGAACUAUUCACACAUCACUCUGGAGGCAGGCAUGCACUACUAGGGAAAAGCCUAUACACAGAAAGUUAAUCGGUCUCUACCGUGCCCCUCGGGACAUGCCAUAGUAGUAGCGCGGGUUUUUAAAACCUCGCUACUACUAAGUUUGAUAGCAGUAGCAUUGGUUUUUAGCCCUCGCUACUACUAAGUGGUACCAUAGUAGUAGCGAGGGGGUAAAAAACCGCGCUACUACUAAAGGUCCCAUUUUCAAACUCUACCCCCUCCUCCUGUGGAUCGCCUUUUCGGUUUUAAAAAAAAUAAAAGAAAAUGAUGAAAAUGUCAAAAAAAUAAAAGAAAAUAAGUUUCCCAUGUGAUAUGUGGUCUAGUUGUUGGGAAAAUUUGCAAAUAUGAAUUUCGACUUUAUUUGCAAAAUCUCUCGAGAAUUUGUAAAAAUGGGCAUAACUUUUGCAUACUAACUCGGAUGAAAAAAAAAAUUAUAUGAAAAAUCAUCUACUCAAAAAGUUACAUCCAAAUUUAACUGGGCGAACCCCGUUAAACAUUUUCAAAAUGCUCAAAAACCAAACAGAAAAAAGUUACAGGGCUUUUAAGAUCUAGAGUGGAAAAAUCGAAAAAAUUUCAAACUGUGUGGUCAACCUGUGGUCAAACAAUGGUCAAACUAAUUAUUCUAGAAUAUUAGUGUUACUCAAUAAUUAUUUUAGUUUUUUUGAAUUUUGGUCAAAUCUGGUCAAACUAUGGUCAAACUGUGGUCAAACUAAUUAUUCAAGAAAUAUUAGUGUUACUAAUUUUUUAGAACAAUAGUUUCAAACUCAAAUAGUGAAAUGUGUGACUUCAUGCUCAAGCUAAAUUCCUGAGGUUAAUAGGAUUGACAUCUUGCUAUUGUCAGGAAAACAACAAGUGCAGACUUGGAAACGAGGGAGAAUAGAACCCGGAAGUUAAGCGUGCUCAGGCUGGAGUAGUGAGAGGAUGGGUGACCGUCCGGGAAGUUAGAUGAUUUGGAAUGAUGAGGGGUGAUUAGAGAUCAAACUGAGCAACGAUGAUAUUUAAGGUUAAAAUAAUUCAGAAAUUUGAAAAUUAGGGGAAAAAAUCGAAAUAUUUUUUCGAAAAAAAUCAAAAAAAACCCGCGCUGGUAGUAGUAGCGCCGGCCCCCGCGCUACUAAUAGGCCCAAAACCUGCGCUGCUGCUAGGCUUUUCCCUAGUAGUGAUGGUGAUGAAGAAGGCCUCCGGUGAUGAUCCCCCUCUCCGGCAGGGCACCGGGAAGAGCUUCAGAACCCUCCCGAUCUAGGGUCGAUGAUGACGGCGGCUACGGAACUUUUCAUGGAAAUAUGGUUUUGUCCUUAGAGUUUUCCCAAGGAGGCGUAUAUAUAGGCGAACAGGCAAGAUCGGUGGAGACCUGGGGGCCCACACCAUAGGGCGGCGCCCCCCGGACGCGCCUGGCCCAGGUGUGGCCGCCCAAGGGCGCUUCUCCGCCUCCCCUUUGGACUAUGUCUUCGUGUCUAAAGAAUAGGAAUGUUGGCUUUUGUUUCUUCCAAUUUUGAGAAUAUUUCUUUACUAAUUUCUCUGAAACACAAAAACAGCAGAAAACAUGAAACUGUCACUGUGGCACUUGUCAAUAGGUUAGUUCCAGAAAAUGCAUUAAAAUGCCACAAAGUGUAGACAAAACAUAAAGGAUUUGGUGCAAAACAAUCAUGUAGCAUCAAAAAUUAUAGAUACGUUUGCAACGUAUCAGGACCCAACUGGCAGCCACCAAAUGGUUUCCUAUACCCCCCUGUUUUCAGUUUUGGCACCAAAUCUAGUGCCGCUUUCCCUCGCCUAUUCCCGCGCUCCCACUCUGGUUCUUGCCGAGGCGAGCACCACACGCAUGUCGCCGCCACCGCACCAUCACCGCUGCUUCCGUGAUGGCUCCAUUGAAGAGGCUGCGGGCGAAGCUCGUCAUCGCCAUCGCUGCUGCUUCUGUGAUGGCGCCGUUGUAGAGGCCGCGCGUGAAGCCCAUCGUCGCCAUUGCCGAUGCUGCCAUGACGGCACCCGAGGUGAAGCCGUGCGGGAAACGCGUGACGCAGAGGCCGAAGGGGAUGUCAGCGAAGGAGUGGGAGGACAUGCUGCCGAUGAGGAGGAUCAUCACGGCGGACCGCAAGGAGCGGCGCUUGCGGAGGUUGGAAGCUGAGAGGGCCGUGGCCGUGGAGGCCGUGCAGGCGGCAUACUUGGAGGAGAGCUUGGGUGAGUGACCGUUUUGCAAGGUCCCAACUCAGGCCAGCAAGGCCAAGGGCGCGAUGCUGAUGAGCUAGAAGACCGUCAACUCCCGCUGCAGUACCUCGCCGUCGCCGUUGUGCUCCUUCUAGGACAGGGAGGGAUGCGUCGCGGCAACACGUCCCCAAUCUCGAUUCUCCUCUCCGGAGGUGGGAGAGAAUAGCCUCUUCCCGGACACCGACUCGAGCGACGUCUUCUCACCGAGCAACCUCAAUGGUGGCCCCUUGCCACAACGAUGGUAUCGCUAAUCUUAACCUGAAUAACCCCUUCCCCGAGUCACUUCAAAUGCGUAGGGGGGCAAUCUCCUUCAACUCCGACGCCGGCGGCUCAUCAUAGCGAGGCCUCGAGCUGUUCUGUGGUGGCCCAUCUGCAGCACGCAAACUAGUCGGUGAAAUGACCAAGGCCGCCACGGCCGAGGCGAUCCAGGGCCUGAUCCGCGGUGGCGAGGAGGGAUACUAGGCAGAAGAAUACAUUUUUUUGUGGAUUGUUGAUAUGUUCUUGUUCAUGUAGUGAUUGAGAACACAUUGGCAGAAACGAGAUGCGGAAAGAAAGAAUCACGAAGAUGACGCUGAUCCUUGGGUUUCUCAAAGGCCAGAAACGCCCCCUUGGGAUGCAGCAGAGUACAGUCAACUCAUUUCUGCAGGGCUAGUGCUGGCACUACUAGAACAGUACGCGGGCAUUGGUACGAUGCAUGAUAACAAAGAAAAGAACAUUUUCCAUGUUCGCAAUGAUGAAGAUGACAUUCUACUUAUGUCCUACACUGUCAUUUUUCGCAGAUUCUUAUGACCAAAACACACUCAGGGGGGCACCAUGGCAAUUUCAGUCACAAGGCGCUAACACUGACAAAUGUAUGGGCAGCCAACUUCAACUAGCUAAUGUGGCAAAUCAAGGUAACGCAUACGAAAAUGAAACAUACUGGUGUGGACAUGAAAAAUAAACUUGCAAAGGAUGGCAAAAGACUCACGAGUUAUGUCGGGAAAAAAUGCAGAACCUUCAUGCAGCACGUGGCAUCAGGCGGCACCCAUGUACCUGCCAUCGACGUCAUACACAGGUGAGUCCAUAAAACGUGAAGUUGCGAAUGGUGAAUUAGCAGAAGGUGCAUAGUUGACAAUUGCAGUUGCCAUGACUAGACAACUGCAAUUGGCAUGACUCAACAACUGCAGUUGCCAUCCCUGGACAACUGCAGUUGCCAUCCCUGGACAACUGCAGUUGCCAUGACUGAACAACUGCAGUUGCCAUUGCCUGGACAACUACAAUUUCCAUGCCAGGACAACUGCAGUUGCCAUGCCAGGACAACUGUAGUUGCCAUGCAAGGACAAACUGCAGCUGCCAUGCAUUGACCAACUACUACCAUGCUUACAGGUUAUUACGGUGGUGCUACCCCGGCAAACGUCUCAUGGCAAGCUUCACAGAUUGUAGAGAGAGCACGUCAAUUUGGUGUUACAGACCACAUAAGAUGGGCACAUGCAGCACAACAAGGUAAGGAAAUUUGAACCACAAAAGAGCACUACAUUUGUUUUUGUGGGAAUAGCAUGUGAGGAAAGAAGAUUUGUAGUAGUGACGGUGGAAAAAAUCAAACAGAAAAUGCUAACAAGUGGUUGUGUGCAAUGAGUGAUAUAUUGUCUUCGGGAUUUGCCAAUUGCUAAAAGCAUGUGUGCAGCACUAAUGGUUGAUCGCAUUUGCCUAGUGAGCUCAAGCCUAGAAUACAAAGUUUUGAUGCUAGAACACACUGGUUGCCAUGUAUUGGCGGCAGUAUUUGCCAUGUAUGUAGGACUGCAGCUGCCAUGCAUAUAGAAUCCAAGUUUCAUACUGAAAGGAGUUGGUUGCCAUGCAUUGGCAACAGUAGUUGCCAUGUUUGUUGGACUGUAGCUACCAUGACUGGACAACUACAGUUGCCAUGCAUGUCCACAUGCAGACUCGCGGCUUGCUAUUUGAAUGAUGUCAUGCCAAAUCACUUGAAGUUGAUGUGCUCCUUUAUGAUAAACAUGUCAUUCAAGCAAAAUCUUACGCUCGUACCUGUUUUUUCUAUUACAGGGCCUACAACUAGAGUGAACAGCGGCACAGGGACAUCGGGAGCUCUAAGCGCACGGAAGACGCGUUCCACCAGCCAGCCAACAUCAUGCCGCAAACAAUGCCGAGUCAGAGUCGGAAAUGGCAAUCAUUCCAGCAAUGCCGACAAGCACCCCUUUGAACACAAGCACUGGCAACACUCAAGUAGAUGAAACUACUGCCGAUACUGAAGUGAAUGAUGAAACUGAUGAUGAAGCACAAGGGGAUGAAGAUGGUGGGCAAUCAGAGGUCGUGGUACCUCAGCCACCGUACGUUGGGUAGAGAUUUGAAUCGUUCGCAAAAGCAAAGGAAUUCUACCAGACAUAUGCAAAGUUCCAUGGGUUUGUGGUCUACACCGAAUACCAUAGGAAGAUUAAGAAAACUAACGAGUACAACAGAGGUGAGAUGAGGUUCCACAAGGCACGAAGGAACAAGAAGGGGAAAGGUGUUGCGCCUGUCAUUCCGGAACGAAAGAGAGGUAUCAUUCUCAAGAUGAAAUGCCCUGUUCGGUGUAAGCUAAACGUAAAUGGAGCACGGUGGGUGGUCACUGAAUAUUUUGACGAGCACAACCACAAACUCAUAAAGAAGUUCGACCUGGUAAAAUUUCUGACCGCCCACACAGGAUUCACCCUCCUCGAGAAGAAAUUCAUAAAGCUGCUACAUGAUUGUAACGUCGGUCCAUCAAGAAUGGUCCAGAUACUAUCACUCAUCCACAGCAAAAAAGGGAUUCUGAGUAGCAUGCCCUACAUACCAGCUGACGUCACAAACCUAAAGGCAAAGUACCGUAGAGAGAGCAAGUUGGCUGACAUAGAGGCCACAAUGGCCUACUUCGAUGAGAAAGCGAAGGAAGAUCCAGAUUUCUUCUACAGGAUAAGGUUGGACAAUAAGGACCGUGUCAGGAACAUAUAUUGGGUGGAUGGUGCUGCAAGAAGAUCCUACAAACAUUUCCGAGAUUGCAUUUCAUUCAACGCGACAUAUCUCACUAAUAUGUACAAGAUGCCAUGCGCUCCAUUCAUAGGAAUAAAUAACAACAAUCAGUCGUUGCAUUUCGGAUGCGGGCUCGUUCGGAACGAAGAAACAGAUGGGUGCGUUUGGUUGUUCAAGGCCUUCUUGGAGUGCAUGGAUGGACUUGCUCCGAUGAACAUAAUAACAAACCAGGACUUUAGCAUGCGUGCAGGCAUAGAGGAGGUCUUUCCGUUGGCAGUGCAUAGGCACUGCAGGUGGCACAUUAUAAAGAAAGCUAAGGAGAUGCUAGGACUGUUCUUUGCUGACCGUCCAGAGCUGCACAAGGCAUUCGAGCUGUGUGUGGACCACAGCUUGACGGUGGAGGAGUUUGAAAGGAGCUGGAUGGCCAUGAUUGAAACAUAUCAAGUCCAAGACAACGAGACUCUUGCUAGCCUAUGGGAGAAGCGAAUGUACUGGGUGCCGGCCUACUUCAUGCAGUGCUUCUUCCUGUUUCUGCAGACUACCCAGCGCAGCAAGGGGUUCAAUGCUGUUUUGAAGCGGUACGUGAGCCCUGACAAAUCAUUGCUACAGUUUUCCAAGCAGUACACAGCUUUGCAACAAAAAAUACUGGGAUCUGAGCUACGGCAAAAAGCGAACACCGCGCUAAAGCAGCCAAAAUUGCUAACGUAUUUACCGAUGGAGAGGCAAAUGAGCAAGAUAUACACCAACAAGAUCUUUAACAAGUAAGUCAGUUGCGUUGCAAUCUUAUUUGCACAAGCAUGAAGGCAGUAGGUGCCAUAUAGAAUGCAAUGCAGUUGCCAUGAUAUGUGGAUGCCAUGUUUAAUGAAUUGUUGUUUGCCAUGUUUACUCAACUGCAGUUGCCAUGUUUAAUGAACUACUGUCUGCCAUGCUUACUCAGCUGCAGUUGCCAUGUUCAAUGAAAUGCAGUUGCCAUGUUUAAUGCAUUGUACUUCCAUUGGGCAUGUUGGUAUGCAAAUGCCAAUGCCAAUUGAAAAUGUUAUGUAGUUGCCAUGUUUACUGAACUGCAUUUGCCAUGUUUACUGAAAUGCAAUUUCCAUGUUUGCUCAAAUGCAAUUGCCAUGUUUACUCAACUGCAGUUGCCAUGUUUAAUAAAUGCAGUUGCCAUGUUUUAUGCACUGUGCUUCCAUUGGGAAUGUUGGUAUGGAAAUGACAAUGGCCAGUUGAAAAUGUACUGAAGUUGCCAUGUCUAGUGUACUACAGUUGACAUGUCUAAUCUACUACAGUUGCCAUGUCUAAUGUACUACAGUUGCCAUGUGUAAUGUACUACAGUUGCCAUGUGUAAUGUACUCUAUUUGUCAUGUUCAAACGAAAUGUACUUCUAUUGGCCAUGACAACAUAAGGUGCUAUAAAAAACAGCACACAAUAUUUUAACAAAAAACACACAAAACUUGAAGAUUCCAGGAAGAAAUAAAGCGUGCCAGCAUGUUCACGGCUUUCCAGCUGGACGAACAUACGUUCAAGGUGUGUUCUAUUUUGGGCAUGUCAGAUUCAGAACCUGAAGACCCGGACAAAGGAAGGAACUACUUCGUGAAAGCCUCGAUAGGCCAAGGCGAAUACUACUGCCAAUGCUGCAAGUUUGAAUAGGACGGCAUUGUGUGCUGUCACAUACUAAAAAUAAUGUACAUGAACGCGAUGACAUGGAUGCCCCGCCAUUUCAUAAGGCGCCGAUGGACUUGGGACGUUGACGAUGCGUUGGCGCCGCAGACAACAAACGCAGUUCUGGCUGGGCAUGACGAGAGAUCGGAGUCAACCAUGGAAGCCGUGAGGCAUGUUGUGUUGACAAAGAACUAUGCUGAGCUAAUUGAUGAAGCGUGCAAGGGUGAUGAGACAGCAAGAGUCGCAGAAAAACACAAGAUGGCCCUGAAAAGAGAGCUUGAUGAGAUCAAGAAGAGGAAAGCUGAGGAACCCUUACACAGGUUCCCCCGCACAUCAAGUGUGCCUUCAUCCACGGGGCCAUCAUCUGAAAACUCGGAGAUAGGAUCUGGAACAGAAAGCACACAAACCCAGGUCAAGAACCUGCCCCGUUCCAUCACAAAGGGGCGUCCAAAAGAGAUAAGAUAUAAAUCGGGAUUGGAGAUUCAAGCAAAACACAAGAAAACAAAGAAAGGGACGGCCAAUCCGUAAUCAACAUUGGGGCACUGUGACAUGGUCCUUGGUGACAUUUUAUUUUGUAAUCUAGAUGUUAUAAAAAAAUUAAAAAUGGGAGAAUGACUCUUGAGGGGCAUCAGAAGUUGAAGAAAAAUGCAUUGAAUGGAUAACUGUAGUUGCCACGUUAUGUGUACUUAAUCGGCCAUGUUAUGUGUAUUUAAUCUGCCAUGCUAUUUUAUACUAAAUAUGCCAUGAUAUUUUAUACUGGAUCUACCAUGGUAAGUAUACUGGAUCUGCCAUGUUAAUUAUACUGGAUCUACCAUGUUAAGUAUACUGGAUCUGCCAUGUUGUUUAUGCUGAAUCUGCCGUGUUGUUUGUACUGAAUCUGCCAUGUUAGCUGUACUGAAAUAUGCCAUGUUAUUUGUAAUGACUCUGCAUCGCGUAUAUUUCCUUGCUAAUUCGACAUGGUUUAGUCACACAUAGUGCGUUGUGUGCAACCUAUGGGACACAAGUUGAAAAAGCGUAAUGUGCAUCAACCGCGGAAAAGGUUAUGGCUACAUGAUCAAACUACCAUGCUAUCCGGUGCAGUUAGCGAUGAAAAAGAAGAAGCAAAUAGCCAAAUGAAAAAUGACGAUAACUUUUACUAACCAUGGCUGAUGAACUACAUUUGCCAUGUUUUAAAACAUCGUAGACGCAUUCGAAACACCAAAAUGGUGCUGCAAAUGAUGAAACCAUAAUAAUAAUGAUAAACAUAAAACGUAUCGGCUAUCACGCCUAAAUAGGUUCACAUCCACAUAUAUAUUACAGAAAAUAUUCAAAUGUCGCUCACACACCACCACAACAUACUAGCCUACGCGGGUUGCAGUCAUAACAUAGCACACGGACAUAGUUUUGAGAAGAACAAAGGUAGUGCCUUACAUUCCUCGGCAACAUAAUGUAAGGUAGGCGUUCGGUAUGGAGCGCCACGUGAUCACUUGUACUUUUUGAUGACUUUCUUGACAGCUUCCUCUAUGAACUCACGUGCUCCGGACCACUUGUUGAAAUCUUCAUUCGUCAACCUAUUCCAUGUGAAAAAUUUCCCGGAGCUCAACGACUGUUGCAGCUGUGAUGACGGGAACCAGUCUACCUUCCCACUUUGCAAGGUAUUCCAACGUGUGAAAGCCACAGUCCAUCCUGCAUAAGAAAAGAAUCAGGUGAACUCGCAAAAAGGACAGAGAAAGCAAUGAUAAACUUCAAUUCAAAUGUAACAAAAAGAGGGGUGGGAUUGGUGUAAUGGGCGCAUGAAGAAAGAGAUAGGAAAUUACAUGUUCCCUUGCUUCGUAGUCGCCAUGUACUCAAUUGGAAAAUGUCUGAUCUGGACCUUUGAGUUUUCGUAGUGACGGUUCCAUGUCUCUUUGAGGUUGUUGAUGAAGAAUUCAGCAUGCGUAGUAAGGUCUGCAUCAGCUGCCGAACGCAUUGAAUCAAGCACCUCAAAGCGUUGGUUCUUCAGGUCAACGCAGAUCGCGUAGUGGUGACCACACUUAUUGUGUGGGUCAUGUGGUGCAAGCUCCUGGAACAUGGGGAACAUGACCUACAAGUAAAAUGAAGGAAAUGAGAAGUAGAGUUCACACGAAGAAUAGCAAGGGGACAAAAAAGUAGAAUCACGUAGAAUGUUUAGUUAUAGUGGGUUGUUAAAAAGAAAGUUGCUGUCCAUGUAUGAACAAAGUUGCCCUGUAUUUUACUUUGAAGUAGCCACAUAGUUUGCACGGGGAUGCAAAUCAAAAAGUCAGUUUACAUGGCAGCUGUUGCCACAUGAAACAUCUGCCUGUUUACUUUGAAGUCACCAUCCCAUAUUUUGCAGGUCACACUGUAAUGCAUGAUUGUUUUGUCGGAAGACAUAUCCAUAUGCUUGUUGAUGUAGUCAAUCCCACAUGCAACUACAAUCGUCGACAUUUUACCGAGUGGCCUCACAGACUCGGCAAGAUCACCCAGGUCGACGUACGUUGCUUCGCAUUGAAUGACCUUGGUUCUGUCCAAACAUGAGUUGUAUGAAAAUGAUAUAACAUGAAAGAAUCAUGUCUACUAAGUAAAAAAAGAAGAACUAAAACGUAAGUGGAUCAUAUCUAGAAAGUACAAAAAAGAUGAAUGGUAAAAAAGAGCAAAGCAAAAUGAGAGAUUAUGUGGUGUGGUCAUUUACACUUUCAGCUCCUUCAUGUGCUUGCUGCUGGCCCUCGCAUUUCCAAAUCUCUUGACAAUAUCGUAUAGCUGGUUCUGCUCCUUUGUGGCCUUGACUUCGGGGACGUAGUCUUCCGCGGGAGGUGGGUGAACUACCCUCUGCUGCCUCACGGAACUAGGGGUGGAACUCCUAAUGGUAUCCUCAGAUACCGUAUCUGCAGGCACGUUGGAACUUGAUUGCCCCUGACCUCGUGAGGACCUCCUCUGCAAUGUUGCCUCCUCAAUCCUGCGGUAAACUUCAUCAAGUGACGGCAAAAUCUCCUCAGGGGUGCCUGCAAGGAUCAAAAUGUGGGUUAGGAUACCUGGAAAACAAAACAAAUGUAGUGCAAAGAGAAAAGGUGCAUGAUAUGAAAUGUAGGUACAAAAACUGGGGAGUUACCAUGUGGAGGCAAAUCCAGUUGCCAGGUGUAUUGCACUGUAAUUUCCAUGUGAAAGAAACUGCAGUUGCCAUGUUGUGUCAACUCCAGUUGCCAUGUGGUUGCCGGAUGAGAAAUGCAGGUGACAUGCUGUAGAAAAUCCAAUUGCAAUGUAUAGAGCAUUGUAGUUGCCAUGUGAAACAAAUACAGUUGCCAUGUUUUAUCAACUUCAGUUGCCAUGUGGUUGCCCGAAUGGAAAAUACAGCAUGGAAAUAAAAAUGUAGGUAAGAUGGUGUAGCAAAUCAGGUUGUCAUGUCAUCACUACACAGGUGUAUACAAGAAAAAGAUAAACGCAGAAGAAAUGUACCUUGGAUGAUUGGCUCUGCGAACUUGACAGCUUUCCUGCCCUCGACCAUUGGCUGCGCCAUCAUUGCGGGCAUACCUCCCGGGAAAGCAAGGGCAACUGGCGUAGGAUCUUGAACAACUGGUUGAUCUUGACUGAUGCCAAGGCUAAAGCUCGGUGGGGUGAAGGCCAUUGGGUGCCUCUCAUGCCUACUGGUCGGACUGCGAACAACUUCCGGGGCAGAAUCCAAUGGUGAAAGAUCAACAAACAUAUCUGAAUCAGCCGCGCCAGAAUCAUCGGUCUUAUUUGUAGGGCGGGGCGUGUUGUCAGCGGUAUCAGCCGCAACUUUCUUGACAAUCUUCUUGUUUGGGCUGUAGGGGACACCAACAUUGACUGGGAGCUUGGAAGUGCGCAGAUUUAAGCUAGGGAUUUUCACUGCGGGUAAAGGCGCAGUCUACUCCAGACAUUCACCUCCAUCACUUGUGCCCGGCUUGACACCUGCAUCAGUUGUACUCCGGUCUUCCGGUUUCUCCAUAACAUUGCUUUUGGCAGGUGGCGGGAACGGUGUGGACGCAGGAACAUAACCAGACUCAUCUCUGCUGCUCCUAGCUACAGCUGGUGCGUUGGGUAUGUCUGUUGAUUGCUUGUGGGGGCUACGACGCCUAGGUGGAAGACCAGCACGCGAAACAGUCACCUUAGCAAUAUUUGCACCGCUAGGAGCUGGAGCUGUUGUGCCAAGACUCUCACCUGUAGAUGACAUAUCAUUAUGAACUGCCACCUCAGCCACUUCUGUCGUGGACACAGGAGUGCCACCACGCACGCGCUUGGAAUUAGAUUCAGAUGAGUGGGAAUCUUCCUUGCUUAGGUUGGUCUCGGGAGCAUCCACUUCAGCGCUUGCUGAUGGGGUGGCUCACAGCAACAUCCUUCAUUGCCAGAAGAGUGGGCAAUAUUUCAGCUGUCCUGGCAGAUACCGACUCGUCACUCCCCGAUGUACGGAUGCCUGUUAUUCUAGCCUGCACAUCUGCAAUCGGCAGAGAUGGUCGGCCACUUGCAUCAGAGUUUGUGGGAACAGUUGACAGUGCAGCAGCAGUUUUGUCGACUAGCGCCUCAUGGACAUCUGAGUUGCCACCUGUUGACAACUUUGAAUGAAGGCGUUUGAGUGGGUCCCUAAUGAUAUGCUUGUCCGCGCGUGUAGUAGUCUUCUUCACCCUGCAAAAAAUAAAGCACAUGAAAAAGGUAUUAAGAAAUGAACAAAAUAUAUUUUCCAUGGUAGAAAUCUAAGAAAAAAAUGAAAAGUAGGUGGAAAAGCUAGUAGUUGCCAUAUAGGUGGAAUAAGAGUUGCCAUGUGGCAUAGUUAGCAGUUGCCAUGCAAAUCCAGCAAGAGUUGCCAUGCUAGCCAACUUGAAGAAUGAUAAAAAUGUCUGAUCUGCCAGGAAUGCAAUUUCAAAAGUAGGUAUGUGGUGAGCACAGAAGCCAAUGCAAAGAUGGAAGUUGCUAUACAGGUACAAAAAGAGAUGCAAUUUGGCCUAGAUAGCAGUUGCCAUGCAAAAACAAGCAGGAGUUGCCAUGCAGUUAAAAAGGAAUGAGAUCAUUUGAAAAACAGCAGUUGCCAUGUGGGACUGAUGACAGAAGCCCAUGUGGCAAGCUUAACCGAUGCAUUGAAAAAUCAAAAAUAUAGCACUAUGGCAAUGAAAGAACAUGAAAACCUACUUUUUGACUGGCUUUCUCAUGUCUGGCAACACGAUAGGAACCCCGGUGUUGGACGUUGUCGUACGAGGAGAUGACCUGGUGGAAGGGGUGUCACCAGCAAUGGGGGCACCUUUGUUCAACCGAGUAGAAACACGGGUUGGCGUUGGUGCCUGUUUCUUCGUAACUGCUCGUCCACCAGCUGUCGCCUCACUGCACGUAUAAGAUGGAGGCAAAAAAGGUGGCAAUUGUUAGACAGCAAACUCAUCACUACUAGAAAAAGGCCUACUAAUGGCGCAUCGGUUUUGCCUACUAAUGGCGCACUACCGGUGCGCCAUUACUAGCACGCCAUUAGUAUUUUUUACUAAUGGCGCACCAUGUAGUGCGCCAUUAGUAUAGCCCACGGUGCGCCAUUAGUAUCUGGUAUACUAAUGGCGCACCACAUAGAAGUGCGCCAUUAGUAUCUGGUAUAAUAAUGGCGCAUCACAUAGAAGUGCGCCAUUAGUAACAUUUUUUUUUCAAAUUUUUUUCUAAAAUUUUUUUCAGAAUUUUUUUUUAAAAAAAAUUCAAAUUUUUCUUAAUCUCAGUUCACUAUGGCUUAAUCUCGGGUCAAUAUGCUUAAUCUCAGGUCAAAUCGCACUCCGUGGUCAAACUUUCCGAAAGGUCACCCAUCCUCACACUACUCCAGCCCAAGCACGCUUAACUUCAGAGUUCUAUCCAACCCCAGCAACAACUCACUUCACAGGCACUUGUUGAUAUAUCUAGCAUAUCAAUCCUGUUAUACCUUGUUGAUGUCAAGGACUUUGUUCAUGUUCAUGACUAUGAUGAAAUUUUGAAAAAUAUUUCAAACUUCCCGAUCAUAUUACGUAUCAUUUUUUGAAAAAAAAUUCAAAAAAAAAUGAAAACCAAUUUUUUUUCUGUUACUAGUGGCGCACCACAUCCACGGUGCGCCACUAGUAAGUUUGAAAUUUUUUGAAUUUUUUUGCCGCUAGAUCUUGAAAGCCUCGUAACUUUUUUCUGUUAGGUUUUUGGGGAUUUUUUUGCCGCUAGAUCUUGAAAGCCUCAUAACUUUUCGAGAAGAUGAUUUUUCAUAUAAAAAACUUUUUCAUCCGAGUUCGUAUGCAAAAGUUAUGCCCAUUUUACAAAUUUCCAUAGAGAUUUUGCAAAUAAAGUCGAAAUUCAUAUUUGUAAAUUUUCCCAAAAACUAGAGCACAUAUCACAUGGGAAUCAUAUUAUCUUUUAUUUUUUUGACAUUUCCAUCAUUUUCUUUUAUUUUUUUUAAAACUGGAAAGGCGAUCCAGGGGGGGUGCAUUCGGUGUUGGGGCAAGUUAGUAAUGGCGCACCGUGGGGUGGUGCGCCAUUACUAGUUUAACUAGUAAUGGCGCACCACACCCACGGUGCGCCAUUACUAGUUUUGAAAAAAAAAAUUAAAAAAUUGAUAUUUUUUUUGAUUUUUUUUUGAAAAAAACUUAGUAAUGGCGCACCAGUGGAAAGUGCGCCAUUACUAGUUAAAACUAGUAAUGGCGCACCGAGACAUGGUGCGCCAUUAGUAACAAAAAUUUUUUUAUUUUUUUUUACUUUUUUUUUCAAAACUACUAAUGGCGCACGACGGAUAUGGUGCGCCAUUACUAUGUCAAUUAGUAAUGGCGCACUAUGCAAUGGUGCGCCAUUAGUAACAAAAAAAUUAUGUUUUUUUUCAAAACUACUAAUGGCGCACCACACACCAGGUGCGCCGUUAGUAAUAUAUUACUAAUGGCGCACCGAGACAUGGUGCGCCAUUAGAAUAUAGUAAUGGCGCACCACAUCACAGGUGCGCCAUUAGUGGCCAUUCCAUCUAUAGCCCUUUUUGUAGUAGUGCAUUGCCGCGCUUAGCAAAACAAAUGCAAAAAGGGGUCAGUCUGUUCAAAAAAUAUAGACAAAACAAAACACUAAGACAAAAUUCGAACCUCCUCCUAGCAGCUACGGGAUCGGUCCUAGACCUCUUGCCAGGAGAACCCUGCCCAACAUCCUCUGGAGCCCUCCCCCUCUUUGAGGGAAACACCCCCUCGCCUCUUGCAGCCGUAUGUUCUUUGACUUUCUCCGGUAGGGGGACAUCUAGUGCAUCCUUGCCCUUCUUACCACCUGCACGAACUUCAACAUGUUCAUCAUCAUCGGUCUCAUGUUGCACGUUCUCCAUGUCAUCGCGAUCAUCCUUGUUGAGACCAGCGUCUCCAUCUAGUUCAUCUUGUGUGUCAGCAAGCUCUUGGGAACUGUUGUAGUAGUACUGACCACAGCAACCAGUUGGCCGAUGUGUCCGUUCUGGGACAAAUGUAGUGAACUGCCUCGCAACCGCGUCGCUGUCAGAGUCAUUAAGGGACGUCCAACCCUCAACCAGCUUCUCGAGCAAGCUGGUCAUUUCGGAUGCAAACUUCCCAAUUAGAUGCUCAACAGGUGCCCUCGCCUAUGCAUGAAACAAGAAGCAGCAAUAACCAACCAUCACUACAGGAAACAGGUAAUUUGCCGUCUGUGGAUUACAGACGGCAAAGACCCAAAUCCAGACGGCAAAGAUUUUGCCGUCAGGAAGCAGACGGCAAACUCAGACGGCAAAGAUAAGUCGGCAAAGAAUGCUUUGUCGUCAGCUUUUUAUCGUACAGACGGCAAAGUAUUUGCCGUCAGCUGAAGUCAUGUUUUUCCGUCAGCCUAUUAACCAACAGACGGCAAAAUCCAGGCUCUUUGCCAUAAGUAAGGCUUCUUCUUUGCCGUCUGCCCUCAAACCCAUAGAUGGCAAACAAUUAUUUAUAUAUAAGAAACAAUAGCAGGUAGUUUGUGUUCCUUUUUUAUUUGUACUUUUAGUUGUUUGAACGGGAGACGCUCGCGAAGGACCCAGAAGCUACUUCAUUGAUAAUUAUUAUUUGCAAGAGUCUACAACUGCCACAAGGACACACCAAAAAAGUGAAAUUACAACACAAAAUGGGAUCUUUACAGGAAAGACCCGAAACACGAGCUGGAAAACGCGAUAUGGUCCAUCUUCUUGCUUGCUUCGACAUCGGACACGAGCUGGAGAGCAGAGGACCCGGGCGAGGCUGGGAGAGCAGCGAGUGGCCCGUCGCGCCCCGCGUCACCCGCCCUCACCAGCACCGGCCACCGCACACCCUUGCACACGCCAGCCGCGACGCCGCCGCUCCUCGAGGCCGGGGCCAGCGCCGGAGGUCGAGGCCGGGGAAGGCCUGCGGGGGUGACGGGGCCGGGGCCAUCACAGGCCGGCGGGGGCGACGAGGCGCGAAGCUGCCGGGGACGACGAGCGAUGGGUCGUGGAGGCCGGGGCCGGCGGGUCGACUGACGAUGAGGCCGGGGCCGGCGGGCAAGAUGGCGGCCAACGUGGUCGGGGUCGGCCGGCGAGGUGGUGACGGGCGCUGGCGGGCGAGAUGGNNNNNNNNNNNNNNNNNNNNNNNNNNNNNNNNNNNNNNNNNNNNNNNNNNNNNNNNNNNNNNNNNNNNNNNNNNNNNNNNNNNNNNNNNNNNNNNNNNNNNNNNNNNNNNNNNNNNNNNNNNNNNNNNNNNNNNNNNNNNNNNNNNNNNNNNNNNNNNNNNNNNNNNNNNNNNNNNNNNNNNNNNNNNNNNNNNNNNNNNNNNNNNNNNNNNNNNNNNNNNNNNNNNNNNNNNNNNNNNNNNNNNNNNNNNNNNNNNNNNNNNNNNNNNNNNNNNNNNNNNNNNNNNNNNNNNNNNNNNNNNNNNNNNNNNNNNNNNNNNNNNNNNNNNNNNNNNNNNNNNNNNNNNNNNNNNNNNNNNNNNNNNNNNNNNNNNNNNNNNNNNNNNNNNNNNNNNNNNNNNNNNNNNNNNNNNNNNNNNNNNNNNNNNNNNNNNNNNNNNNNNNNNNNNNNNNNNNNNNNNNNNNNNNNNNNNNNNNNNNNNNNNNNNNNNNNNNNNNNNNNNNNNNNNNNNNNNNNNNNNNNNNNNNNNNNNNNNNNNNNNNNNNNNNNNNNNNNNNNNNNNNNNNNNNNNNNNNNNNNNNNNNNNNNNNNNNNNNNNNNNNNNNNNNNNNNNNNNNNNNNNNNNNNNNNNNNNNNNNNNNNNNNNNNNNNNNNNNNNNNNNNNNNNNNNNNNNNNNNNNNNNNNNNNNNNNNNNNNNNNNNNNNNNNNNNNNNNNNNNNNNNNNNNNNNNNNNNNNNAAGAUUUCUUUGCCGUCUGUGUUUGUUUUCGCAGACGGCAAAGUGUCUUUGCCGUCUGUGUUUGUUUUGGCAGACGACAAAGUUAGUUUUUGCCGUAUGUGGUUUUUUUCGCAGACGGCAAAGUGACUUUCCCGUCAGUGUUUUCUUUGUCGUCUGCUGAUGACGGCAAACCCUUUCUUUGCCGUCUACCCCGACGAAAAGCUGACGGCAAAGCUGCUCAUAGAUGGCAAACUAGCAGUUUCCUGUAGUGCAUAUUACAAUCACUUGCAGGAGAUCAAAAAUAAUCCAAGGCAACCAUAGAUAUAUAUCUUUGAUUACCUCAGUAGGGCAAGACGGAGCUGAGUGCACGUCCAUCCACUUUCCAAAAUUUUGAGGCCCCCCAAACACGUUGUAGUCUAUAGCAUGGUUGGCGAUCAGCUGGAAAUAACCAAAAAAUAGCUAGGAUGUAAGAGAGAGAAUGAUGAACACUGACUAACUGUUCAUGUAUUGCAAAAUACAACAAAAAAGAAGACGAGAAUAUAAGUUUCAGCACGGAUGAUAGAGUUGCCAUGUGGAGUGAGACAUGGAUAACAUGCGUAGGCAGCCAUGGCUAACAAAGGUAGUCAUCUCUUGUUAACUACAGACGGUUGCCACAUGACGAUUUUUUCAUAUGUUAUGCCGCAAAAAAAUUGUAAGAAUGUCGGGUAGAGAAAGAAACCAGAAUUAACCUGCAGUUUUCCAUAUUUGGUAUCAGUUACCCUGUCUGCUGCAAGCACAGCCUUGACAGCAUCGUAAGUCCACGCAAAAACAACAAACUUGUGCGUAGGCGGCGGGCCUCCUGUCCCAGUGAAAUCCACGGUGGACAGAUCAAGGCAGUCGACGUACAUGAGCUGAUGUACAACAAUUUUAAAAGGAAAGAAAUAUCAGUUGCCAUCAUGGUAUUUUGCAAAAAACAGGCUAAUGUAUGUUCCUACAAUCAUCAAGUUGAAGUGCAUGAAAAGAGAAAAGAAGAAGUUGACAUCUGUCUGUGCUAGUUGCCAUAUGUAUGUGCUAGUUGCCAUCAUAGUAUGAUGGCAGUUGCCAUAUUGUCAUGAUGGCAGUUGCCAUCUUGUUAUGAUCAGGUUGCCAUGCAUGAAUAAAGGUGUUAAAAGAGUGUUCACAGAAAGGACUGGUAAAACAAUACCAUUAAAUGCAGUCGACAACCCUUCUGGUAUAUUUUGCUUGAGAAUGCAUCAUGUAGGAAGUCAGCAAUGAACUUACACCAAUUCAUGUUCUUCACAUCUUUCAAUUUCGCCUGCACCGCACAAUUUUCAGGACAACGAGUUUCCGCAUCAGAAAUCAAAUAGAAAAAACAUCAAAAAAAACUGUCAGUGACUAGCUUGCACAUGACAUCGGAGCCAAAAGAUUGAAGGAAAAUAAUGGAGUAAAGAUAGAUCAUUCACCAGGAUGGGGAAGCAUUUGUUGCUUAGGCGAAGAGAAGUGGUCGUCGCGAAAACAGCUGAGAUGAGGCACAUGAGUAGUUUCGUCUUAAAAACCUCGCCAUGGGUUGUCAUGGCCUACACCGAAUCUGCCAGGAAAGACGUGUUCGGCAUGGAUUCCAACCCACGAAACAAACGGGGGAACAAUGUUUCCUCGAUCUUAUUAUGGACCUCAUACGGGACUUUGAUUUCUCCAUGGGGCACACCCAAAGUUCAACGGCAGUCUUCCACGUCCCGAAAUCACAAAUUCCCUGGAGGCGGGGUCGUAAAUCUCACCAAGCCAGUCGCAUACAGGGUUGACUAGAUUCGUGCACCGGACAUCCAUCAGAGCCUGCAUACCCAUCUCAGCAGCAGCUCCCUUUUGAUCGUCGGUAAAUCUGUCAGUCAAUGAAGUCAGUCGUUCCUGCGAGGCCCUGUUGCGAGUACGUUUCUUCUUCUGCAACAACAGACAAAUGAUCAUUGUUGCCAUGUUUUCACUGUCAUGAAAUUGUAGUUUGUAACAGACGACUGCAAGCUCGAGGUGGCAACCAAUAACAUAUGCAGGAGGAGGAGGGUGUGUGGACAAUUACCCCGUCGCUGUCUUUUCUCCGUCUAGUUGCCCGAUUCUGCUGUGGUGGAUCCAUGAAAUCAUCAUCAUCAUUUUGAUGAUCACCGCGAGCCAUUCUCCUGAGGUAAGAACGGACCAAAUUGUCAGGGUGGAAAUGAAAUGUAGGAAGUAAGCAGUUGCCACCUAACAGAAUGUACUUGCCGCAUGGGCUCAAUUGAAAAUGGCAACUAGUGAAUGCAAAUAUCACCUGAACACACACGCACCCCCCUAUGAUUGUCGAAAACAUAAAUGUGGCAAUGAAGCACAUUGGUUUCAUUUGAAAAAAAUGAGCAGAUCGUAAUGCACUUAAAAACAAAAUGUUGAAGUUGCCAUGUUAGCACAAGAUAUUACGAAAGAAAGCCACAAAUCUCCCACUGCACAAACAUAAAAAGUGCUAGGUUGACAAAUCUCCCAUUGAACACAUGGCAGCUCACACCCUGUCCUCAUACAAAAAUAACUUGCCAUGUGUUCAAUGGCAAAAUGUGCUAGGUUGAAAUUGCCAUGUUAAAAUGCAACACAAAAUUCAAAAAAGCUAUGAAAAACAUCUACUAAACAACCUGAAAUUGCAACGCACACACUGACCUCAUAUCAAAAAUGAGUUGCCAUUUAGUAUGGACAAAUAUGUUCAGAUAUCACAAGUCCGCAUGGCAAAACACAAAACUGGGUCUGCCAUACAAUGAAAUUGCCACAUUAUCCUGCCUAUAACAUGCCAACAGACAUGCUGUGUUCAAACAAAUACUUGCCACAUGGAAAGCAUAUAUAUGGCAUCUGACACAAUUGAUGUGCAAAUUAGUUGCCAUCCAGUGCACAUAGUUGCUGAAACUGACAAGACUACCUAGUUACUAUACUUUGCCAUGCCACAUUAUCCUGUCAGUUGCCACGAAUCAGCGUGGCAAAGCACAAAAAUUUGGGUAUGUAGUACAACCAAUUUGCCACAUUAUCCUGCCUACAACAUGGCAACAACCACAGUGUGUUCACAUAAAUACUUGCUACAUGGAAAACAUAUAUGUGCCAACUGACACAGUUGAUGUGGAGAUUAGUUGCCAUCAAGUGCAAAUGGUUGCUGAAACUGCAAUGACUAUCUAUUUACUAUACUUUGUCGUGCCUACAGUGUGGCAACAGCCAUAGCCUGUGCGCGAAAUUAGUUGCCACAUGGAAAGCAUAUUUGUGGCAACUAUCACAGUCAACCAGGAAAUUAGUUGCCACAUGGAAAGCAUAUUUGUGGCAACUAUCACAGUCAAUCAGGAAAUUAGUUGCCAUACAGUCAUGAUCGUUACUCAAACUACCAUGUUUGUCUUUAUACUGCGCUUUGAAAAACAACUACCUAGAUCUAGGGUUCAAUGACAACUAUCAUGACUUGAAAUUCAUCGCCAAAAUUCUCCACGAACUGAUCGCAAAUAGCAAUUCGAAGCAAUGUGCAACUAUUAGACAGAAAAAACGACGGCCCAAUCCCAAGGCACAACCAGUAUGUGGCUCCGGACAGGCCGAACCCCACCGGAGUGACCGCCACCGCGGCGGCGACGAAACUGCCCAGUGUCACCGAAAACGGCAAGCACAUGACUCCGCCACCGGCAGGAACGCCGGCGCAUCGCGAACCCGCCUGAAUCUCUAUGAAUUUCGAGCGAAGCAUCGAACACGGAGGGCAGGGGAGAAAAUGCAGGCAAGGAUUUUGAGAGUUGGAGGGAGCAUUACCUUCAAUCUGUAGGCGCUCCGGCGAAGCCGCUCCGGUCCGGCGAGCACCACCGACGGCCGCGAAUGCCGUCAACUCUUCCGCCUCCACCGUCGCCUUCUCCCCUCGUCUUCUCCUCCAAUCGACUGAAAUGCGAAGUGAGUUGUGCGAGUAACUGUGGGGAGGAGUAAAUGGAACCGUGAGGGGGAGGGGGGCGAAGUGCGCGACGUGUUUGACCUCAACCAAGGUCGGCGCGUGGCGUGCGGGCGCAGAGCAGUUCCACCGCAUGCCCCCGAGUGGCAACCGCUGACCCCUGGGGGGGGGGGGCAACCGGCGUGUGGGCGAACUAUGUCACUCAUCACACACGCGCCUUGUCCUACGUGGAAUAGAAAAUCGGCCAGAACGUGCCAAGAUUCGUGCAUAUACUGCUGGACGGCGAUGGAUGCAUGUGGUUGAGAUGGUUAACGCCCACACGUGUGGGCGUUAACAUUUCCGUUUUUAGCUAAGGGAGAUGUGUGACUUGUACAAGGCCGAAAACAAGGGGCAGGAGUUCGCCUUCAUGCACAUUUUCAACAAACUUGAAAAGUGCAAAAUAUGGGAGAAGGUGCGCUACGAGCACAACCAUGGCAAGCCCUUCGACGUGAACGCGCCGGCGGAUGCUUCGGCUGGCCGGCCUGAAGGGCACAAGAAGGCCAAGGCCGCGAGGAAUGCGCAUGACGCUGAAGAUGAGGCCGAGUACAAGAAGCUGCUCGCCGACGUCAAGACCAGCCACGCUCAACGCAAUGACGCCAAUGAGGCAAGGUGGAGGGAGGUCCUCGACACCGCCCAACAGAAGACGCAGAUCGAGGCGGCCAAGGUCAAUGUCGCCAAGGUGGAGGUCCAGGCCAGCAUGAUCCACGCGAUCAACGCGCAGAUGGCCGAGGAGGCGAACAUCUUGAGCAGGGACACGUCCAACCUGGCCGUGGAUAUCCAGCUCUGGUACGCCGACCGUCGUGCCCACAUCCUGGGGGCGUCGAGGGCUGCAAGGGCAUCUGGGACAUCAGCACCGACGUGGCCAAAUCAAGCUGCACCGGCGUGGACACCUCCAUCAGCACCGGCGUCGGCAUCGGCAUCGGCAUCGACCGAGCCAGCACCUGCAAUGACUGAACCAGCGGCGACGAUCAUCAUCGACGCCGACGCACAGCCCAUUUGAUAUCUACAGUGGUACCUCGCUGAUAUGGCGUUUUGGGGCAGCUGGACCCGUGUUGUUUUGAACUUUAAUUGGCCGAUGUGGCCGUACUUGCGAACUUAAAUCUGACCGGUGUCGCUGGUGUUAUCGAAUUUGAUGCUUUUUGUAUUGUUUUGGGGCUAAAUUUGUUUUGGGAAUGAUCGUUGAGGGCGGUCACCGGUGAAGAGAUGCCCCAAACGCGCAGCAGUUUAGACGAGCCACCCAAACGCACUUGCCGGUGCUGCCAGCCCCGGUUUAGGUAGUGGAGAUGACCUUCGUUUUAGUAGCAAAAAGGGUCGUGCGUUGCAACGGGAGAAUAAAAAAUACCACACGCUCUUAAUUUACAAAAAAUGUUUUAUAAUCUGAGAAUGUGUAGCUAUUUCUUAAAUACAUGAAGAGUUAAGAAGGUUGUGAAAAAGAUACAAGAUUUUUUAAUCAUAAAAAGAGGUUUGUUUUGUUUGAAAAGAACAUUUUUUUAUGGUUUCCUGUUGACGCAGGUACUCGCGCCCCUAUUUCAUCACUAUUUCUUGUCAUAUAUGUCAUAGUUAUUUUUCUCUGUUUCAUCACUGUUUAUUUCUUAUCAAACUACUCUUUUAUUUUACUUUUGGUCAUGCAUGUCCUCUUUUUCUUCUUCUUAUAUAUAGGAGAAUAGCGCAACAUCUCAUCUUUAUUAGAUCUCCUCUGUAUUUUUUUUAUUUAUUUUAUAGCGGACAUCCCAUUUUUGUUGGGUCCUUUUAUUUCUUGUCAUGCAUGUCCUUAUUUAUUGGGUGUCUCUAAAAAAAUUAUCUUCAAUCUGAUGUCCAAUCCUGAUUUUGGUGAUGUGUUCAUCCCAAAUCCGAAUCAGUAUCGGUAUGAAAAAAAGAUGGAUAAUGCAUUGUUGAUUAACAUUGCAGUCUAGGUAGUAAUUUUUUAAAAAUUUAACAGGUAAAUAACAUUAUAUUUAGAUUAUACAUAAUUUUCUAAUGAAAUUCCAUAUAUAAUAUGUUAAUUUUGGAGUUACGGUUUAAAAGAUAUGACUAUUUUAAAAAACAUUUGAUAUAUACUGCGUGUUUAAUGUCAAAAACAUCAAAAGGUUUCUAUAAAAUAGUAUGACGGGCUAAUAAUAUCUAUUUCUUUUAUUAGUAGGUAUAGAUAUUAUCAACUCUUCCUGAACCAUAUACCAACCGUGCAUCCUCUUUUUUUAUAAAAAAUAUAUAUACCAACCGUGCAAGGUGGAGGCUGGUGCCGUAUCGUGGAACUCGAGGUCCGCAUCGUGACCACAGGGCGCCCAUGCAUUCGCCCAAUUAUGUACAUAGAUGCAUAGAAAACCAUAUCUCAACGUGCAUCGAGCCGGCGAGUCAACUCGUGGUUGGAUGGUUAGUGGGACUGUGGUAUCCCCAAUCCACCAGGGUUCAAAUACUGGUGCUCGCAUUUAUUUCUAAAUUUAUUUCAGGAUUUCCGGCGAUGCGCAUUCAAUGGGAGGAGACGUUCCCGUCAACGACGAGGCGCCUACGGUGACUUCGUAAAUCUCAAGAUGAUAUGCCGCCUCAGUCUUUCAGAGGUGCUCAUAAGGGUAGGAUGUGCGUGUUUGCCUUUAUAAGGAUGAGUGUAUGCACGUGUCUAUGAGCGCUUGUGUGUACUGAUGUUAAAAAAACAUGCAUCGAGCCGGUUCAUCACGGUGAAAGAGACACUGCAACGGCAAUGCGCGUCCACAGUCAGUACUACUUUGUUCCAUGCGGCGACAGGAAUCUGACACAGAUCUAUGUCUCUCACUCUUGUGUUGCUGCUUAAUCACUGAAAUCAGAGGUAAAAUUUGGAGCUAGGGUUCGGAGUAGAAGGAAAGGGGAUCGAGAUGAGAGCCAGGGGGUGGGAAGGAGGAGCUCGCCCAACGGCGCCGAUACAGAGUAGUGAUCCAACGAUGCCGAAACCCUCCACACGCAACCCUCUAAGUACACACUCACUGGACCCAGUCCUCUCCCUGGACUCGUGGGUUGGGCCGACGCCCUCUCUUGGGCCGGCCCUGUUGGGCCGGGUGACUUGGCAUUCCCGUGACAUUCCCCCCUCCUUGAGAUGUGGCUUGUCCCCAAGCCAAUGCAUGGGGAAAUCUUGACUUGAGGGGACUUCAUCUUCCCAGGAGGCGAGCGACGCUGGAAAGCCUGACCACUUGACGAACACCUGGUCAAUCGUGCGCGUCCCGCGAGAUAUCGUGCGCCGCCCAAGGAUGGCUUCAGGGACUUGAAGUUGAAGGAGAUCUUGGUCCAGCACAGGCAGCUCAGGAAGGGCCGUCGUGGAAGGAGGCAGCCCAGCUCGAAGUUGAGAGACAUGAAUGACCGGAUGUAUCUUGGCAGGCAGAGCAAGCCGGUACGCCACCUCGCCCACACGAGCGAGAACCUGAAAAGGACCAAAGUACCUGAAAGCCAAUUUGUGGUUAGCACGAGCCACCACAGAGGAUUGUGCGUAAGGUUGCAGCUUCAGGUAGACCUAGUCGCCGACUGCAAACACAUGAUCUGACCGAUGCCUGUCAGCCUUGCUCUUCAUGACUUGAUUGGCCCGAUGAAGAUGUUGCUUCAGGAGACCCAUCACUGCUGCUCUGUCACGGGUCCAUGCAGCUAGAUCCUUGACUGUGUCGUCAGCGAUGUUGGUGAUGCCAAAGAAACGUGGUUUGUGACCGUACAGAACCUCAAAUGAAGAUGUCUUCAACGUCGAGUGAUAUGAUGUGUUGUACCAGAAUUCGGCCAGUGCCAGCCAUUGUGCCCACUUAGUCGGGCAGUUGUGAAUGAAGUAGUGCAGAUAGAGCUCCAUGCAUUGGUUCACCCGCUCUAUGGUAUCAUCCGUCUGCGGGUGGCGUGCUGAAGAAAUGUUGAGAGUAAUGUGGGUCAACUUGCAUAGUUCCUGCCACACUUUGCUGGUGAAGACCCGAUCGCGUUCAGACACCAUCUUGUCUGGGGGCCCGUGCAAUUUUAAAACAUUGUUCAUGUAUGCCUUGGCGACUUGGAGAGCUGUGAAUGGGUGUCGAAGUGGGAUAAAAUGUGCAUACCGAGUCAGUUUGUCAACGACGACCAGAAUGGAGUUGUACCCCAUGGAAGUGGGCAGUCCUUCGACAAAAUCAACGGUCGCCAUCUCCCAAGCAUGUUCAGGAACAAGGAGGGGUUGGAGUAGCCCAGGGUACCGGACGUGUUCGGGUUUUGCUUGUUCGCAGACAAAACAUCGGCCGAUGAACAUAUUGACUGUAUGCUUGAGCUUGGGCCAAGCAAAAAGCUUCAUCACUCGACUGUAAGUUGCUUGUACGCCAGAGUGGCCUCCAAUUGCGCCUGCAUGUAGUUCUUGUAACACUUUCUGUUGGCUGUCCACGUCAUUGCCCAACCAGACUCGCCCUUUGUAGCGAAUCAGCCCGUCAGUGAUCGAGAAAGGCCCUGCUAAUUUCACUCCUUGGGCAUGCAAGGCUAGCAUGCGACAGCAGUCAGGAUCUUUCCUAUAGUUCUGCUUGACAUCUUCAAGCCAGGUGGGUACGCAAACUGAGACCGCGAUCACCAUUGCAUGGUCUGUAGGCUGUCGAGAGAGAGCGUUUGCUGCCAAAUUAUUAGCCCCUUGUCGAUACUCAAUCUUGUAUUGCAGUCCAAGUAGCUUGGUCAGAGCUUUGUGUUGCCAUGGGGUGGUGAGUUUCUGUUCAUCCAAGCAAGUGAGGCUCCGAUGAUCCGUGCGGAUAGUGAAUUCUGAAAGAAGAAGGUACGGUCGCCAUCUAUCUAGUGCCAUCAGGAUAGCGAGACACUCUUUCUCAUAUGUGGACAAUGCCCGGUGUCAUGGACCCAAAGCCUGACUGAGGAAGACCACUGGAUGUUGUUGUUGCAUCAGGACAGCGCCAAUACCAAUGUCAGAUGCGUCCGUCUCCACCACGAACGGCUUGGCAAAGUUGGGCAGGGCCAGCACAGGGGCUGUGGUCAGUGCUGUCUUGAGAGACUCGAACGCCUGUUCGUGAUCUGCCGUCCACACAAAAGGAACGCCUUUCUUCAGUAGCUCUGUGAUGCCUCAAUUGAUCACCCCAUAGUGUCGAACGAACUUGCGAUAAUAUCCUGCUAGUCCAAGGAACUAGCGAAGCUCCUUAAUAGAUGAUGGCGAAGACCAGUUCUGCACUUUCUCGAUGUUGCGAGGGUUCGUAUGUCCUCCUUCCGCACUGAUGACAUGACCCAAGUAUCGGAGUUGCGGCUGCGCAAACGCGCAUUUCUUCAGCUUGACCUUGAGAGAGUACCGCUCCAAUCGCUGAAACACUGCCCGUAACAACAGCACAUGCUCCUUCAAGGUUGCACCAAACACCAGAAUGUCGUCAAUAUACACUAGAACCCCUUUUCGCACAAAUGGCGCAAGAACUAUAUGCAUAGCAGACUGAAAUGUGAAAGGCCCUCCAGUGACACCUUGUGGAAUUACUUUGAACUCGAAAUGCCCGUGAUGUGUCUGAAACGCUGUUUUAGCUUCGUCCCCAGGUCGCAUCCGGAUUUGAUGAUAUCCAGAGCGAAGAUCCAGACUUGUGAAGAACGUGGCACCGUGCAAUUCAUCCAGUAACUCAUCGAUGAUGGGAAUGGGGUAGCGAGUUUUGAGGGUGAUCGCAUUGAGGAAGUGAUAGUCGAUGCAGAAUCGCCAUUCCCCAUCUUUUUUUAAACCAAAAGCACGGGGGACGAUAAGGGACUGCGACUGAGCUGUAUGAUACCUUGCCGAAGCAUUUCUGUCACUUGUUGCUCAAAUUCGUCCUUCUGCGAAGGCUGUACCUAUACGAGCUCUGUUAACUGGUUGUGCUCUAGGAAUGAGCUCAAUGACAUGGUCGAAUUCCCAGUGAGGUGGUAGUCCACUGGGUUCCUUGAAUAGCUCAGGUAAAUCUUGAAGCAGCUCCUCAAUAACAGUUGGGACCGGGGCUUGAUCCACUUUAGGUUUGCUGGCUGACAAUAAGAGGAUGUGAGCAAUGUCUGUACGCGACUGCAAGAGAUUGAUCUGAGCCAUAGAGAUCAUAUGGCAAGUUGUUGUCCGUUGAGACUGUUGGGGAACGUAGUAAUUUCAAAAAAAUUCCUACGUACACGCAAGAUCAUGGUGAUGGCAUAGCAACGAGAGGGGAGAGUGUUGUCCACGUACCCUCGUAGACCGUAAGCGGAAGCGUUAUGACAACGCGGUUGAUGUAGUCGUACGUCUUCACGAUCCGACCGAUCCAAGUACCGAACGUACGGCACCUCCGAGUUCAGCACACGUUCAGCUCGAUGACGUUCCCCGGGCUCCGAUCCAGCAAAGCUUCGGGGAUGUGUUCCGUCAGCACGACGGCGUGGUGACGAUGAUGAUGCUCUACCGACGCAGGGCUUCGCCUAAACUCCGCGACGAUAUGACCGAGGUGGAAUAUGGUGGAAGGGGGCACCGCACACGGCUAAGGAACGAUCCGUAGAUCAACUUGUGUGUCUAUGGGGUGCCCCCCGCCCCCGUAUAUAAAGGAGCCAGGGGGGAGGAGGCGGCCGGCCAAGGAGGGCGCGCCAAGGGGAGUCCUACUCCCACCGGGAGUAGGACUCCCUCCUUCCUUGUUGGAGUAGGAGAAGGGGGAAAGAGGGGGAGAGGAGGAAGGAAAAGGGGGCCGCACCCCUUGUCCAAUUCGGACCAGAGGGGGGCUGCACGCCUCCUUCCUUUCGGCCUCUCUCCUCUAUUUCCGUAUGGCCCAAUAAGGCCCAUAUACUCCCCGGCGAAUUCCCGUAACUCUCCGGUACUCCGAAAAAUACCCGAAUCACUCGGAACCUUUCCGAAGUCCAAAUAUAGUCGUACAAUAUAUCGAUCUUUACGUCUUGACCAUUUCGAGACUCCUCGUCAUGUCCCCGAUCUCAUCCGGGACUCCGAACUCCUUCGGUACAUCAAAACACAUAAACUCAUAAUAUAACUGUCAUCGAAACCUUAAGCGUGCGGACCCUACGGGUUCGAGAACUAUGUAGACAUGACCUACAACUAUUCUCGGUCAAUAACCAAUAGCGGAACCUAGAUGCCCAUAUUGGUUCCUACAUAUUCUACGAAGAUCUUUAUCGGUCAAACCGCAUAACAACAUACGUUGUUCCCUUUGUCAUCGGUAUAUUACUUGCCCGAGAUUUGAUCGUCGGUAUCCAAUACCUAGUUCAAUCUCGUUACCGGCAAGUCUUUUUACUCGUUACGUAAUGCAUCAUCCCGUAACCAACUCAUUGGUCACAUUGCUUGCAAGGCUUAUAGUGAUGUGCAUUACCGAGAGGGCCCAGAGAUACCUCUCCGACAAUCGGAGUGACAAAACCUAAUCUCGAAAUACGCCAACUCAACAUGUACCUUCGGAGACACCUGUAGUACUCCUUUAUAAUCACCCAGUUACGUUGUGAUGUUUGGUAGUACCCAAAGCGUUCCUCCGGUAAACGGGAGUUGCAUAAUCUCAUAGUUACAGGAACAUGUUUAAGUCAUGAAGAAAGCAAUAGCAAUAUACUAAAUGAUCAAGUGCUAGGCUAACGGAAUGGGUCAUGUCAAUCACAUCAUUCUCCUAAUGAUAUGAUCCCAUUAAUCAAAUGACAACACAUGUCUAUGGUUAGGAAACAUAACCAUCUUUGAUUAAUGAGCUAGUCAAGUAGAGGCAUACUAGUGACUAUAUGUUUGUCUAUGUAUUCACACAUGUAUCAUGUUUCCGGUUAAUACAAUUCUAGCAUGAAUAAUAAACAUUUAUCAUGAAAUAAGGAAAUAAAUAAUAACUUUAUUAUUGCCUCUAGGGCAUAUUUCCUUCAGUCUCCCACUUGCACUAGAGUCAAUAAUCUAGUUCACAUCGCUAUGUGAUUUAACACCAAUAUUCAUAUCUACAUGUGAUUAAUACCCAUAGUUCACAUCAUCAUGUGAUCAACACCCAAAGGGUUUACUAGAGUCAAUAAUCUAGUUCACAUCGCUAUGUGAUUAACACCCAAAAGAGUACUAAGGUAUGAUCAUGUUUUUCUCGUGAGAGAAGCUUAGCCAACGGGUCUGUCAUAUUCAGAGCCGUAUGUAUUUCGCAAAUAUUCUAUGUCCACAAUGCUCUGCACGGAGCUACUCUAGCUAAUUGCUCCCACUUUCAAUAUGUAUCCAGAUUGAGACUUAUAGUCAUCUGGAUUGGUGUAAAAGCUUGCAUCGUUGUAACUUUAACGACGGGCUCUUUUAUCACCUCCAUAAUCGAGAAACAUCUCCUUAGUCCUCACUAAGGAUAUUCUUGACCCAUGUCCAGUGAUCUACUUAUUAGAUCAAAAUUGUAUUCCUUUGCCAAACACAGAGCAAGGUAUACAAUAGGUCUGGUUCACAACAUAGCAUACUUUAUAGAACCUAUGACUGAGGCAUAGGGAAUGACUUUUCAUUCUCUUUCUAUUUUCUGCAAUGGUCGGGUCUUGAGUCUUACUCAACUUCACACCUUGUAACACAGGCAAGAACUCCUUCUUUGGCUGUUCCAUUUUGAACUAUUUCAAAAAUUUAUCAAGGUAUGUACUCAUUGAAAAAUCUUAUCAAGCGUCUUGAUCUAUCUAUAUAGAUCUUGAUGCUCAAUGUGUAAGCACCUUCACCGAGGUCUUGCUUUGAAAAACUCUUAUUCAAGUAUCCUUUCAUGCUAUCCAGAAUUUCCAUAUCAUUUCCAAUUAACAAUAUGUCAUCCACAUAUAAUAUUAGAAAUGCUACAGAGCUCCCACUCACUUUCUUGUAAAUACAGGCUUCUUCAAAAAGUCUGUAUAAAACCAUAUGCUUUGAUCAACUCAUCAAAGCAUAUAUUCCAACUCCGAGAUGCUUGCACCAGUCCAUAGAUGGAUCGCUAGAGCUUGCACAAUUUGUUAGCACCUUUAGGAUUGACAAAACCUUCUGGUUGCAUCAUAUACAACUCUUCUUUAAGAAAACCAUUAAGGAAUGCAGUUUUGUUUAUCCAUUUGCCAGAUUUCAUAAAAUGUGGCAAUUUCUAACAUGAUUCAGACAGACUUAAGCAUAGAUACGAGUGAAAAACUCUCAUCGUAGUCAACACCUUGAACUUGUCGAAAACCUUUUGCGACAAUUCUAGCUUUGUAGAUGGUAACACUAUCAGCGUCCGUCUUCCUCUUGAAGAUCCAUUUAAUCUCUAUGUCUCGCCGAUCAUUGGGCAAGUUAAUCAAAGUCCAUACUUUGUUUUCAUACAUGGUAUCUCAGAUCUCAUGGCCUCAAGCCAUUUUGCGGAAUCUGGGCUCACCAUCGCUUCUUCAUAGUUCGUAGGUUCGUCAUGGUCUAGUAACAUAACUUCCAGAACAGGAUUACCGUACCACUCUGGUGCGGAUCUUACUCUGUAAGACCUACGAGAUUCUGUAGUAACUUAAUCUGAAGUUUCAUGAUCAUCAUCAUUAACUUCCUCACUAAUUGGUGUAGUAGUCACAGCAACUAAUUUCUGUGAUGAACUACUUUCAAAUGAGGGAGCAGGUACAGUUAACUCAUCAAGUUCUACUUUCCUCCCACUCACUUCUUUCAAGAGAAACUCCUUCUCUAGAAAGGAUCCAUUCUUAGCAACGAAUGUUUUGCCUUCGGAUCUGUGAUAGAAGGUGUACCCAACAGUUUCCUUUGGGUAUUCUAUGAAGACGCACUUCUCCGAUUUGGGUUCGAGCUUAUCAGGUUGAAAACCUUUUUCAUAUAAGCAUCGCAACUCCAAACUUUAAGAAACAACAGCUUAGCUUUACUGCUAAACCAUAGUUCAUACGGUGUCGUCUCAGCGGAUUUAGAUGCUGCCCUUUUUAAAUGUGAAUGCAGCUGUCUCUAAUGCACAACCCCAAAAUGAUAGUGGUAAAACCGAUAAGAGACAUCAUAGAUCGCACCAUAUCCAAUAAAGUGCGGUUACGAUGUUCGGACACACCAUAACGUUGUGGUGUUCCAGGUGGCGUGAGCCGUGAAACUAUUCCACAUUGUUUUAAUUGAAGACCAAACUCGUAACUCAAAUAUUCGUCUCCACGAUCAGAUCGUAGAAACUUUAUUUUCUUGUUACGAUGAUUUUUCCACUUCACUCUGAAAUUCUUUGAACUUUUCAAUUAUUUCAGACUUAUGUUUCAUCAAGUAGAUAUACCCAUAUCUGCUCAAAUCAUUUUGUGAAGGUCAGAAAAUAACAAUACUUGCCACGAGCAUCAACACUCAUUGGAUCGCAUACAUCGGUAUGUAUUAUUUCCAAUAAGUCAGUAGCUUGUUCCAUUGUUCCAGAGAACGGAGUUUUAGUCAUCUUGCCCAAAAGGCACGGUUCGCAAGCAUCAAAUGAUUCAUAACCAAGUGAUUCCGAAAAUCCCUCUUUAUGGAGUUUCUUCAUGCGCUUUACACCGAUAUGACCCAAAUGGCAGUGCCACAAAUAAGUUGCACUAUCAUUAUUAACUUUGCAUUUUUUGGCAUCAAUAUUAUGAAUAUGUGUAUCACUAUGAUCGAGAUCCAACAAACUAUUUUCAUUGGGUGUAUAACCAUCGAAGGUCUUAUUCAUGUAAACAGAAUAACAAUUAUUCUCUAACUUUAAAUGAAUAACCGUAUCGCAAUAAACAUGAUCAAAUCAUGUUCAUGCUCAAUGCAAAUGCCAAAUAACAUUUAUUUAGGUUUAACACUAAUCCCGAAAGUAUAGGGAGUGUGCGAUGAUGAUCAUAUCAAUCUUGGAACUACUUCCAACACUCAUCUUCACUUCCCCUUCAACUAGUCUCUGUUUAUUCUGUAACUCCUGUUUCAAGUUACUAAUCUUAGCAACCGAACAAGUAUCAAAUACUCAGGAGCUACUAUAAACACUAGUAAGGCACACAUCAAUAACCUGUAUAUCAAAUAUAUCCUUGUUCACUUUGCCAUCCUUCUUAUCCACCAAAUAUUCAGGGCAUUUCCGCUUCCAGUGACCAUUUCCUUUGCAGUGUAAGCACUCAGUUUCAGGCUUUGGUUCAGCUUUGGGCUUCUUCAUGGGAGUGACAACUUGCUUGUCAUUCUACUUGAAGUUCCCUUUCUUUCCCUUUGCCCUUUUCUUGAAACUAGUGGUCUUGUCAAUCAUCGACACUUGAUGCUCUUUCUUGAUUUCUACCUUUGUCGAUUUCAACAUCACGAAGAGCUCGGGAAUUGUUUUCGUCAUCCUUUGCAUACUAUAGUUCAUCACGAAGUUCUAGUAACUUAGUGAUGGUGACUAGAGAAUUCUGUCAAUCACUAUCUUAUCUGGAAGAUUAACUCCCACUUGAUUCAAGUGAUUGAAGUACCCAGACAAUCUGAGCACAUGCUUACUAGUUGAGCGAUUCUCCUCCAUCUUUUUAGCUAUAGAACUUGUUGGAGACUUCAUAUCUCUCAACUCGGGUAUUUGCUUGAAAUAUUAACUCCAAUUCCUGGAACAUCUCAUAUGGUCCAUGACGUUUAAAACAUCUUUGAAGUCCCGAUUCUAAGCCGUUAAGCAUGGUGCACUAAACUAUCAAGUAGUCAUCAUAUUGAGCUAGCCAAACGUUCAUAACGUUUGCGUCUGCUCCUGCAAUAGGUCUGUCACCUAGCGGUGCAUUAAGGGCAUAAUUCUUCUGUGCAGCAAUGAGGAUAAACCUCAGAUCACGGAUCCAAUCCGCAUCAUUGCUACUAACAUCUUUCAACACAAUUUUCUCUAGGAACAUAUCAAAAUAAACAUAUGAAAGCAACAAUUCAAGCUAUUGAUCUACAACAUAAUUUGCAAAAUACUACCAGGACUAAGUUCAUGAUAAAUUUAAGUUCAAUUAAUCAUAUUACUUAAGAACUCCCACUUAGAUAGACAUCCCUCUAAUCCUCUAAGUGAUUACGUGAUCCAUAUCAACUACACCAUGUCCGAUCGUCACGUGAUAUGGAGUAGUUUCAACGGUGAACAUCAAUAUGUUGAUCAUAUCUACUAUAUGAUUCACGCUCGACCUUUCGGUCUCCGUGUUUCAAGGCCAUAUCUGUAUAUGCUAGGCUCGUCAAGUUUAACCUGAGUAUUCCGCGUGUGCAACUGUUUUUGCACCCGUUGUAUUUGAACAUAGAGCCUAUCACACCCGAUCAUCACGUGGUGUCUCAGCACGAAGAACUUUUGCAACGGUGCAUACUCAGGGAGAACACUUCUUGAAAAUUAGUGAGAGAUAAUCUUAAAAUGCUACCGUCAAACAAAACAGAAUAAGAUGUAUAACAGAUAAAUAUCAUAUGUAAUCAAAAUAUGUGACAUGAUAUGGCCAUGAUCAUCUUGCGCCUUUGAUCUCCAUCUCCAAAGUACUGUCAUGAUCUCUAUCGUUACCGGCACGACACCAUGAUCUUCAUCAUCUUGAUCUAUAUCAAUGUGUCGUUACAUGGUCGUCUCGCCAACUAUUGCUCUUGCAACUAUUGCUAUCGCAUAGCGAUAAAGUAAAGCAAUUAUUUGGCACUUGCAUCUUAUGCAACAAAGAGACAACCAUAGGGCUUCUGCCAGUUGCCGACAACUUCAACAAAACAUGAUCAUCUCAUACAACAACUUAUAUCUCAUCACGUCUUGACCAUAUCACAUCACAACAUGCCCUGCAAAAACAAGUUAGAUGUCCUAUACUUUGUUGUUGCAAGUUUUACGUGGCUGCUACGGGCUGAGCAAGAACCGUUCUUACCUACGCAUCAAAACCACAACGAUAGUUCGUCAAGUUGGUGCUGUUUUAACCUUCGCAAGGACCGGGUGUAGCCACACUCGAUUCAGCUAAAGUGAGAGAGACAGACACCCGCCAGCCACCUUUAAGCACAAGUGCUCGUAACGGUGAAACCAGUCUCGCAUAAGCGUACGCGUAAUGUCGGUCCGGGCCGCUUCAUCUCACAAUACCGCCGAACCAAAGUAUGACAUGCUGGUAAGCAGUAUGACUUGUAUCGCCCACAACUCACUUGUGUUCUACUCGUGCAUAUAACAUCAACGCAUAAAACCUAGGCUCUGAUACCACUGUUGGGGAACGUAGUAAUUUCAAAAAAAUUCCUACGUACACGCAAGAUCAUGGUGGUGGCAUAGCAACGAGAAGGGAGAGUGUUGUCCAUGUACCCUCGUAGACCGUAAGCGGAAGUGUUAUGACAACGCGGUUGAUGUAGUCGUACGUCUUCACGAUCCGACCGAUCCAAGUACCGAACGUACGGCACCUCCGAGUUCAGCACACGUUCAGCUCGAUGACGAUCCCCGGGCUCCGAUCCAACAAAGCUUCGGGGAUGAGUUCCGUCAGCACGAUGGUGUGGUGACGAUGAUGAUGCUCUACCGGCGCAGGGCUUCGCCUAAACUCCGCGACGAUAUGACCGAGGUGGAAUAUGGUGGAAGGGGGCACCGCACACGGCUAAGGAACGAUCCGUAGAUCAACUUGUGCGUCUAUGGGGUGCCCCCCGCCCCCGUAUAUAAAGGAGCCAGGGGGGAGGAGGCGGCCGGCCAAGGAGGGCGCGCCAAGAGGAGUCCUACUCCCACCGGGAGUAGGACUCCCUCCUUCCUUGUUGGAGUAGGAGAAGGGGGAAAGAGGGGGAGAGGAGGAAGGAAAAGGGGGCCGCACCCCUUGUCCAAUUCGGACCAGAGGGGGGCUGCGCGCCUCCUUCCUUUCGGCCUCUCUCCUCUAUUCCCGUAUGGCCCAAUAAGGCCCAUAUACUCCCCGGCGAAUUCCCGUAACUCUCGAGUACUCCGAAAAAUACCCGAAUCACUCGGAACCUUUCCGAAGUCCAAAUAUAGUCGUCCAAUAUAUCGAUCUUUACGUCUCGACCAUUUCGAGACUCCUCGUCAUGUCCCCGAUCUCAUCCGGGACUCCGAACUUCUUCGGUACAUCAAAACUCAUAAACUCAUAAUAUAACUGUCAUCGAAACCUUAAGCGUGCGGACCCUACGGGUUCGAGAACUAUGUAGACAUGACCUAGAACUAUUCUCGGUCAAUAACCAAUAGCGGAACCUGGAUGCCCAUAUUGGUUCCUACAUAUUCUACGAAGAUCUUUAUCGGUCAAACCGCAUAACAACAUACGUUGUUCCCUUUGUCAUUGGUAUGUUACUUGCCCGAGAUUUGAUCGUCGGUAUCCAAUACCUAGUUCAAUCUCGUUACCGGCAAGUCUCUUUACUCGUUACGUAAUGCAUCAUCCCGUAACCAACUCAUUGGUCACAUUGCUUGCAAGGCUUAUAGUGAUGUGCAUUACCGAGAGGGCCCAGAGAUACCUCUCCGACAAUCGGAGUGACAAAACCUAAUCUCGAAAUACGCCAACUCAACAUGUACCUUCGGAGACACCUGUAGUACUCCUUUAUAAUCACCCAGUUACGUUGUGACAUUUGGUAGUACCCAAAGCGUUCCUCCGGUAAACGGGAGUUGCAUAAUCUCAUAGUUACAGGAACAUGUAUAAGUCAUGAAGAAAGCAAUAGCAAUAUACUAAACGAUCAAGUGCUAGGCUAACGGAAUGGGUCAUGUCAAUCACAUCAUUCUGCUAAUGAUGUGAUCCCAUUAAUCAAAUGACAACACAUGUCUAUGGUUAGGAAACAUAAUCAUCUUUGAUUAAUGAGCUAGUCAAGUAGAGGCAUACUAGUGACUAUAUGUUUGUCUAUGUAUUCACACAUGUAUGAUGUUUCCGGUUAAUACAAUUCUAGCAUGAAUAAUAAACAUUUAUCAUGAAAUAAGGAAAUAAAUAAUAACUUUAUUAUUGCCUCUAGGGCAUAUUUCCUUCAGAGACUGCCCUGAUAAGUGAACCAGCUGCCAAUUGUGUUGAAAUGACAUUUGUUUCUUAGACCAGUUCACUGUCAUAACACCCCUGGAUUCCAACCAAUCCAUCCCAAGAACUAUAUCAUAACAACCCAAGGGAAAAAGCUUGAAAUUGGAAUUGAAAGUGACCCCCUGAACCGAGUACUCACAGCAAGGUAACUCCAGGGUGCAGCUAGUAAUGGCUCCAUCUGCCACCUUGACCUUCAAAGGUGUUUGCAUAGGACGAAUUGUUGGCCAGGCUUGAGCUAUCUCUGCAUUGAUAAAACUAUGAGAACUCCCGGAGUCAAUAAGCAUCAGCAGAACCUUGCCUCCAAUGUUGCCGGUGAGCCGAAAAGCUUUGGGCGCUUCAGUACCAGCAAUUGCUGCCGCUGACAACAAACACAGGUCCUCUUCAGAGCUCUCGUGUUGGAGAGAGGUUGGUUCUGGGGAUGUUGGUGGAGAUAACAUGCCCACUAACUCUUCCACAACAAGGAGUUGCACUGUAGCAGCACAAGUGUGGCCUAGGUUCCAUCUCUCGCCACAAGUAAAACACAAACCACGCGCCUUGCGAAAUGUGCGCAGGGCCUUGAGCUUCUCAUCCACUGGUGACUUGGCGAUGUCGAGCCCCCGACGUGUGUCGAGCGCUGUGGGUGAAGGCGUGGAAUUUGCUGUACGUCCCAUCACUGGAGAUGUUGGCACAGCGACCGCUGAAGGGGGCCUCGCCGAGAAACGCCCCGACCGAGUGUUCGAGGCCCCGACAUGAUGCAUCCCCAUGCUUUCAUGUUCUUGGCGAACCAUCUCCACCACCUCUUCCUGUAAAGCAGCAAGGGAGACAACAGUUUCCAAAUCAGGAGGUCGAUGUAACAUAACAGCUACUUUGAUAUCAUGACUGAGAUCUUCCACAAAAUGGGUGGUGAAAAACAAAGGAUCCCAAGAACCAUGGUGUGCUAACAAACUAUGCAUUGCUAUAUUAAAUUGCUCGGCAUAUUCUAACACUGAGCCGGCUUGCUUCAGUUUAGAAAACUUCCGCAGCAACAACUGAAACUCAGAACGACCAAACUUAUCCAGCACAGCAGCGCAAAACGGAUCCCAUCCUGUGAUCUUCAGGUGAGCCUUAGACCACUCCAACCACAAAGCCGCUGCGCCGAUGAAAUGGACCACAACGGUGUCCACCCACACCUUCGGAUCAAUGCCACAGACGCGGAAAUAAGCCUCACAACGAAGACGCCAACCGGUGGGUUUGUCGCCAUCAAACUCUGGGCAUUCCAUAUGCUUGUUGUUGGUGGAUCUGCUCCCACCAAAAACAGCGCUGCUGCCCACCAACUGAAGGGACGGUGGAGGCGGUAAAGGCGCGGAGGGAAACGGAGUCUGAUACGUACCAUUUGCCGGGACCAGCGUAGUGAGGAUCGGUCCCUCACUAGCCGAAACCCGUGGAAGAAGAGCCCCGUGGUGGCCAAUCUGCCCGUGACCGUCGUCACUCUGCCGGAUGUGGAGAAGUGGCGCGUCCGCCUGGGUCGAAUCUGGUGCCGGCCUGCUGGUGGACGGAGCACCCGCAGCGAUUUUCUCCAACUGCGCCCGAAUAUCGCCGAGGUCCGCCUGGAGUUGUCCCACCGCCGCAUCCAUGGUAGGCCGCCAGGCUGCGAGAUCCUGGACGACCGGCUCGAGGGCGACGACCGCCGGCUCCAUCUUCGCGACCGCCGGCUCCAUCUUCGCGACUGUGGUAUCUCAACCCACCAGGGUUCAAAUCGUGGUGCUAGCAUUUAUUUCUAAAUUUAUUUUAAGAUUUCCGGCGAUGCGCAUUCAGUGGGAGGAGACGUUCCCGUCGACGACGAGGCGCCUACGGUGACUCAAAUCUCAAGUGAUAUGCCGGCUCAGUUUUUCAAAGAUGCUCAUAAGGGUAGGAUGUGCGUGUUUACGUUCAUAAGGAUGAGUGUAUGCACGUGUAUACGAGCGCUUGUGUGUACUGAUGUUAAAAAAACAUGCAUCGAGCCGGUUCAUCACGGUGAACGAGACACUGCAACGGCAAUGCGCGCCCACAGUCAGUACUACUUUGUUCCAUGCGGCGACAGGAAUCUCUCAUCAGUCACAUGGUCUACAAUCAAGUGUGUCGCCGUGUCAGCUCCUAGGGAUGGGCGCUCAUCUUUUUAUUGGUUGGCAAAGUACUUAAUCUCGCGCCCACUCCAAGAUACGGUUUCAAGCCAUACAAAACGUACGGUUUCUAGCCACUCCAAGAUUAGUUUUGCCUACCUAAGUCGUGCGUACAAGAUCUGACCAUGUGUUAUGUUAUUAUUAGAGUGCAGCGCCGCAUGUGAUCUCUGUUUUGCAUUGUAGUAUUCCAAGACAAGAUUGGUUGACAAGUGUAUUAUUGGGCAUUGCAUUGUAGUAUUCCAAGACAAGAUUGGUUGACAAGUGUAUUAUUGGGCACGUGCCUCUGGUGAUGGUGGUUUUGGCGCCAUUGUCAGCCGAUCUUAUCUACUUCUACUACGUAGUAGGAUUGGAGCUAGUAUCGGUAACGAUAAAGGCAAUCCUGACAUAGUAUUCCAUAUCUGUAUGGCAGGGAGCACAGAAUCAAGCACGCGAUCCACGCUGCCUACGUGGCCCGUUAAGGACCGUUCCUGCCCGUAGAGCCAACCACUACGCUGCACGCAAAGUUUGUUUGUCGGAUUGGAUUGGUAGGCACUGUACCGAUGACCGUUGAUUUGUACCGACUGGCGGUCCGCAAAAUUUGUCCCGGCAGCCGCAUGUGCACCCCUUCCGGUACCCACGCCCGCGGCAUCGAUCCAGAUGCAUGCAGGAGGCUCGGCCUUUGGUCCUCCCUGCUCCACUCCACGAUCCACAUGCAGCAAAGCAAAGCAAAGCGAGCAAGCGAAAACAAAAAUGCAUUUAUAAACAAGAGACAUAGUUCUAUUUUUACAUUGCUAGUACCAUAUUCAUUUAAACUAUUUAAACUUAACUACAAACUAGAUCGGCAGCAUCCCUAUUCUAUGAAGAUGUAGGGAGUGUCGGCGGUGACGAUGCCCUAGUGUAAAUAAUAUUUAGAAUUGAUUUGACAUGUAUUUUCUUUAAUUCAUAAUAGGUUUUUAUUAUGCUACAAUUGUAUUAAUUGGAAACAUUAAUACACAUGUGAUAUAUAACCAAACCAGGGUUCCUAGGAGGCCUAUAGCCACACUAGCCCAUUAGGACAAGGUGAUAAUCGCUGGUUUCCCGGACAUUAUUUAUGUCAAUUAAUAGAGGGUUCAUGUCAUUGGGCCGGGAAUGACAUGAUGCACAUACCCAACAUAAGUAUUGCAAAGUGAUCGAACCACGAAGCUCGCCGUUGCGAUAAUUAGGCAAUGUUGUAAUUAAGCUAAUCCUUACACCGUGAGUUGAUGUUUAAUAACUAUCUCUAGAGAUUGCUUUUGUUGCAUCAAACGUUACACCGUGAGAGGGUGUCCAUAAAGGUGUAGCGCAGUAUUUCAAUGGGAUAUAUAGAGGCGUAUCACCAAGAGCGGGAUUUGUCCAUCCGCGUGAUGGAGAGAUACUAUGGGCCCACUCGGCGAGAUCACAUCCGAAAGCUUACAGUACGUGACUACGUCACGGGAAUGUGAUAUCACAGGAACGAGUUAAAUCAUUUGUCGGCAGCGGGAUUGAACUAGGUAUGAUGAUACCGACGAUCAGGUCUCAGACGAAUGAAGUAUCGAACUGACAAAGGGAAUAUGACUCGAAGUUCAUGGUUCAACGACAUAGAUCUUCGUGGAUGCACAUGGGUCAUUAUGGGCAUCCAGGUCCCCCUAAUGAUCAUUGGACGGAGAGGAGUCUCAUCCAUCUCUAGAUUAACCACGAACUGUAGGGUAACACACUUAAGUGUUCGAUGAUGCACUAGAGAUAUUGUUCGACGUUGUCGGAAUCCAGGUGAGACUCCAUCAACAUCCAAUUUCAAACCAAACCAUAAAAAUAUGACAUUACCUCAUAUCGACGUGAUGGCCACCAUUGAUAUCCAAAUUUUAACCAUAGAAACAUGACACUACCUCCAUCAAUAUCGUGCGUGAUGUCCCCAGUUUCCUUAUAAACCUCGAAAUUAAACAACCACAUCUAUGGUAUGUAGCUAUCGGAAUUACUUGGCGCGACGUGGCCAUGCCCUUCAACUGUCCUGAUCUACAGGCCAAUAGGCCAGGUCCUUGGCGAUGCAUAUCGAUCGUCCGCCCAAUGUUGAACACGACGAAUUUGCACAAGUCGUGGUACAAGAAUUUGGCCGACAUCCACCGCUCUGGCUGAACUCGAGGUAGUUAUCUAUGGAGUAUAUACAGUAGGUGACUGACGGCGAUGUGGCCACCACCCGGCCAGUGUGUUGUCCGGAAGUUAGUCAUAUGUCGUCGGGAACAACAUCAUUCAAAUCAUUUUCACGCAUACUAAGAAUACUAGGCCCGUAAGGGAUUCAUUUCUCUGAAUUUUUUGGAAUUUUUUUAUGGCCUCUAGAAAAUUACACUUGUUGCUACGGGACCUGCAGAGGUAGAAUUUGCACGUGAAGUCCGUUUUUUCUAGACCAUUCUGACGUGGUAGUAGAAAAGAAAAGCGAUGGUGGACACGUAUCUUGGGGAACUGCCCACGCGUCAUCAACGAAAUCAAACGCUGACCAUGCUAUUUCUCCGCUGCCCACCGCGUGUCCAGUUCUCUAGAGUUCUCUCGCUUCCCCCCACCGCCCGCAGCUAGCCCACCAGCCCACCAGCCCACCGCAUAUUGCGCUAUAAAAGGACAGGCUUACUUGCCUGGGUCUUCACUUCGCCUUUCUAGGUCAUCCCUCCGCCACUGCGUCUGUCUUCCAAAAUCUGGCGGCGCACACAACCAAUUCGCCGCCGGGCCCCCACCUCUCCACCCGCAUGGCCGAUCUGUGAACAGAGCAAGCAUCAAUGGAGUGGGUUCCUCCUAAUCUUUCCACUCCCCUCUCUCCUUUGGAUCAAGCUCCCUCCACCUGGAGGAAGGGCUGAAGCCGGGUCGAUUCCGUCGUGCGUCAGAGCUUAGAGGCGUCACCGCCGGGGCGCGUCACCGGGCCACGCGCCGAGAGAGCAGCGCGGUUACUGGCUGCACGUUGGAGCCUUGGAGGUUGCUGGCUCGCAGCAGGCUGGGGCUGCUGGACAUGGAGAUCAGAUGGAGCAUAAGUCAGCGAGUACUUCAAUCUCAAGUUUGAGCUCCCCGUCCAGCCCCAUGUCUUUGUCUUCACAUGAAUCAGUGAGUACCACCCAGCAAUAUCUUUGGUUCUCCUUUUCAUAUUUCUUAGUUUUGCCUGCUACUUGGUGCUUAUUUUCGUAUACAUCACUUCUAGAGCAGAGAUAUGACAACUUCUGCACUGGAAAAUGCUGUAAUUUCAGCCAAAAGCCCAAAAUUGAGGAAUCGUGUUCAUGCAGAAAAAACUACUCUACUUUUUUUGGUGUGUUCAUUAUCUUAAAAGCCUUUCUCGCAAUCGUUUCAAGGUAGAAUGUAAAUGUAGCUGCAGCUAAUUUGUGUGCAUAUGUUACACAAAUAGCUUAUAUAUAAUCAGGUUUCUGGUAGGGACAGAUGAUAAUUUCUACUAGAUUACUAAUAGUAUUCGCUUCCUUGCAGGUCUUCUACUAUAUUUAGAGGUGGAUGCAAAUUUCUGCACAAUCUUCGGCUUUCUUGAUGUUGCACUGAUUAUGUAAUCUGCGUAUGGGUUGAUAAUGAGGUAGCUUCCAUGGUGAAUUUUUUUAAAUACUAGAACAAUAUUGAAUUAUUUUUGUAGAUUCUUAAGUAGAACUUCUUCUCUAUUGGAAUUUAAUUUAUCCAAGGAGGAUCAAUACCAUCUUGUUUUUGUUUCAGUUAUAAAGCUCGGGUUGUCUAAACCUGAAAAUUCAGUGAGGUGUAAAUGUACAGUUCACUAUUAUACUUCAACAUGAUCAGGUGUUGUUCUUUCCCCUCUCGCACUUAUGAGAUCAUUACUUUGUACCCCCUCUUAAAGAAAUAUAAGAGUGUUUAGAUCACUGUAAUUACUAUUCUUAUUCCAUCAUAUUCCGUAUCAAGCCGAUAUCUCUUGUACAAUAGUCGUUUUCACAAAUAAAUAUUUUAUGGUAUGUUUUUUUCCCAUCAAGCUGAUAUCCCAUUAUGAUAUGUUUUUGCUUUGCACAUGCAGGAUGCCUUUAAUCAAAAGGAUUGGUUUAGUCAACCCAUAAGAUUGAUUCAUUACCUUGGAGUUCCAGAGGGAUUUUGUGUAGCAUGUUCUUCAGGUACUACAUGUUUAUCUUGCUAAGAAUGAUUCAAGUAUGGGUUUUCUAGACUACUUGUUGUAUAUCAGUGAAUGAUAAAGUUAGUUUUGAAAAUUUAUCUCUCUUUUGGCUUAUUUGUAUAUUUGAAUGUUUGAAAAAAUAAAGUUAGUUCGUCAGAUCCUUCUUUGUGUGGGUUUUGUAGGUUACUUGAUGGUAGGAAAAUGUUUGUGACUCCAAAUUUAAUAGGUUAAGAGGAUAGUAUCUUAAUCAUUUAGACUUUUGCUGCCUACGUAACGGAAGCAUGAGUGUGUGGUUAUGAGAUUCAUGCUAAUAAAUCAUUAUCAGAGAUCUCUCAUUUGCUUAUCAACUGUUAUCUUUUUAUAUAUCUUAUAAUUGUCACACUACUUGGUUCCUUUCAUUCCAUCCUAAUUUUAGAGAUCUAUCACUUGCUUUCACAAUGUCACUGUCUUUUUAGACAUCUCUUAAUUUUUGGCCACUUCUUAGUUAAUUCCUUUCCAAGUUAAUAUAUGAGGUAGUUUUAUGGGCUGUAGAGUAUCUUGAUUCUACUAUUUCCCCCAGUUAACAGAAAUAAGAUAAAUUGUACAAUUUUUUGACUGAACUAUGAGUUUUUGUGAUAGCUGUGGCCAGUUCUAUACAGUAUGAGCAAAGAGGAAAGAGUGUUCAUUUGAGUGUCGAUGAAGUGAAAGUUGUCAGUUUAAGUUGGUUCCGAGGAUUCAACCUGUUCUAUUCUACUACAGUAUGGGUUGUAGUGACAUAUGUGCAUAAUAUAUAGUACAUAUUCUUCUUGAUUUUUAUGUGGCCCAUGCUAAUAGGCCAUACAGUCUCUAGAGAUGGGAAACGAAUCAUUAAGCAUUUUAGAGAUUGUUGUCCCAUCUUGUAUAGAAAUAACAUAGAUUGCUUCCGCAGCUGAGCGACUACUUCGUCGGCCAAACACCCGGCUCCUGCUGCAAAGAUGUCCACUGUCCAAGACCCGUGCGUAUCAUUAUUCUCCCUGUCUGUGCCGCGCAACAGCAGUUUCCUGUAGCCCUGCCUCCAUCAGCUUCUCCCUCUUCCUUGCAAUCGAUGAGUUCAGCAUACAAGCUUCAGAUGGAUAAGCUCCUAUGUACUGCUGUUCUAGACAAACAAUGACAACGACGCCUUCUUGUUUUUAGUACUAACCAACAUUUCAGAGAACAAAGUUAUUGCUGUAAGUAGCUUUUUGAAAGUUCCUUUUCAGUUUUCAGUCUUGGGUACAUGAAAAAAAUGAUGUCACAAUCUGAAAAAGUUUGGCCAUGUAUGUCAAUUCUAGCUGAGAAUUACAUAUUAUGAUAGUAUAAUGAGAUGCUUGUGUGCGUUAGUUUACGGUUUUACGCCAUGACUUUUUUUCCCUUCCUUUAAUUGAUCUAAAUGCAAUGGAUGCCAUGCACUGUACGAAAGUAUCUGAAUUUGCUCACUGGGUACAGGACAUCGGCAACAGCAAUAUCUGCACUCACUAUACGGUUGGCAAAACCGAAUUUCAGCUCCGAUCAAAGCUUCUACUUCAUGCCUGCGCAUUCUAAAAAUUUAGUGAUUUUUCCCACUAAAGAUAUAACAUAUCUGCUACUAUUAAUAGCACGUGAUCCGUUUUUCUUCAUUUAUGCUAACCGUCGGAACUAAUAAAAUGCUUGAUGAUAUUAGUGGAUCUCUUUAUAACCGUAUAUGUCUGGUUGUUCCAAGAUAAUUGUUAGCUGUGAUAUUAUAUCAACUGAUUAUCUUGCUGAUGCUGAUCCGCUCUAUCCAUCGGAAUUCUUACAUUCUGUAGUCGUUAAAAAUUUUGCACAUCAUGAAAUUGGUUUGGAAGUUAAAAAAUUAUUGACGUAUAUAAUAAAGGACAGUGUUUUUGUAUUUUUCAGGUUGUCCAGAAUGCGCUGGCCGCUGGGCGUAAGUACCAAGUGGCUGGCUGUUUAGUUAGAUUGCCGUGGCUGGUUGUUUAGUUAGAUUACUGACAACAAUGUCCCAUUCAUUUGUGCGCAUGAUGAUCAGCAAGAUUCAUGGACAGCGCAAAUUAAGUAGUAGAGCAGAGCGUUUAUCUUAUCAAUAUGUAUAUCGUAUGUGGAAAAUUAUCGUAUGUGGAAAAUUAUACUCCCUCCGUCCGGAAAUACUUGUCAUUGAAAUAGAUGUAUCUAGCUGUAUUUUAGUUCUAGAUACAUCUAUUUUCAUCCAUUUUGAUGACAAGUAUUUCCGGACGGAGGGAGUAAUACCCUUGAAGACCCAUAAGGAAGAAUUGACUCUUAAUGCUAUAGUCAACCGCGACAACCAGCUCUGAAUGCUACGUUAAAAAGAAUGAAUAAGCCAACACGACCGGCAGGUCUAAUCGUACUCCCAAGUGUAUUUAUUUCCACAUUGGCACAAUGUAUAAAUUUCAUCAACAAACAAAAAGUGCACAACUGUUAGAUAUGUAAUCAAUCGUCUGUCACCUAGCCACAAAGACAUAGCUGCACGGUACACUAGAUUUUCAACAACUAAAAAAUCUCAAACGAAUUAGCGAGGCGUGGCACGCCGGGCAAUCUAUAUUGAUAUGUAUCAUAUAGAUCUCUUAUGUAGCUGCCGGGCAAUCUAUAUUGCUGCGUAUCAUUUAGAUCUUUUAUGUAGAUGAACCGUUUUCUUGUAUGCACUACUUUGUCACGAUCACCCAACUAAAUGUAUGAACUACUUUGCCAAAAAAAAAUCUUGUGACCACUCACCAAAUAUUAAAAAAAGACCAAAAUAGCUAAUUAGUUCAUGUGGCGCGGCGUGCCGCCGCGCACUACCCGCUAGUUGGUAGAGACGGGGUCUCCAAGAGCACUGCCUUGAGGGGUUGAGGUAGACCAGGCGGGUGACCUCUUCAAAGAUCAAAGGGUAGCUCCGCCAGCCACACUAUAAGGUCGUGUGCGUCACAGUGAGUCGGUGAUACUGCGAGCACGAAGAAGAGGUCAUAGCACAAUCUUGCACCCCACAACCUACCACCGUGUGGCGUAUUGGUGACCACACCGAGGUAUUGGUCAACGCGCACUAUUUUGUGGUGUGGUCUCCAUGCCGAGGUGCAACCGCUUCUUGCACCACCACAAGUGCUUAGGGAAGACGAACCGUCUAAGCUUCGCCUCUGGGGCGCAGUCAAAUGCAGAGGUGAAUUAGUUCUGCCGGAGGCCUUGCGCGAGUCUCUCCUGGUUUUUUGUUGAAUGGCAAGCCAUAGACCGUGUUGAGCGCACGAUUAGCCACAAUGGGAGGUCCUGGAGGCACGUGUCUUCCCCGCUGGCAAGGAUAAGGCGCCUAAGCCCUCCUAAAAUUUUAGGAGUACUUGGUAUAUGCUGGCCAUUAAUUGGCACCAAUCUCCCAUUAAUUGGCAUAUUCGUGCAGUUAAUGGGUUGUAAUAUUUUAUAGCCAUUAAUUGGUGCCAAUUAAUGGCCAGCAUAUAUACUAGUAGAAAAACACCUAAUAGUUCCGGUUCGUAAGGGCCUUUAGUCUCAGUUCAUGAACCGGGACUAAUGGGUCGUUACUAAUACCUUCAUCCAUUAGUCCCGAUUCAAACACGAACCGGGACCAAUGUGCCUCCAUCUGGCCUGUGCGCCGAGCCCAGUCAGGGGGCCUUUGGUCCCGGUUGGUGGCACCAACCGGGACCAAAAGUCCAUGUUUUUUUUAGAAAAGUGGCUGCUUUAGGGGUUUGGGGGGUUAUUUUUAGGUUGUUAUUAGCUAGUUAAUAGAGAGAAGUGUCCUCUCUUAUAUCUUCGUCCUUGGUUUACCAACGCUGCUGCUAUAUAUGUUCAUUUCACCCGCUGAUAUAAUAACUCAUGCAUGCUCGCAUCAUACAUCAUCAUAUAUAAUAACAAGUCCUAUUAAUCAUGCAUCAUCAUACAACUUCUACUCGUUAUUAAUAAUAAGUCAUACGAUCAUCAUCCUCAUAGUCAUCGAACCCAACCCUACAUAAUUGUUCUUAGCACAUGAUCAUCAGUAUGAGGUAGGACCUAAACACCCUUAAGGUAAAAUAGCAUAAAACAAUAUAGACCCUGACUCUCCAUUAUGAAGAAUGGCGAUCAUCCUGUCUCCAAUUCUUGCCCUUCGCUGGUUUUUGCUUCCAAGAAGCUCCUUACGACUGUCCAUACAUUUUUUCCGUUCUUUGAUUUUCAUGUCUCCAGUUCUUUUAGAAACCCGGUAUGGGCAGUUGAGAUUCGUAGGAAGACCUGGUUGUAUGUUCAAAACAUGAAGGGUACCGUGCGUAUACAUCAGAUGAGGCACACAAUCAUUCGGGAUUUUCUGUUGAAAAACAUAGUAAUAACUUCGUAGUUAGCAAUGAUGUACUAGUUUUAGAGUGUGCAAAAAGAUGCACGGAUGUCAUAAUAGUAAAAAAUCUUACCAGGGUAUCUCCAUGGUAGUUACCGUAGUUCAACACGUGCACUAGUGGCACUUAUUGACCAUAAUGUUAAGGAGUUUGAUUGUAGAUAUUGUAAUUCUCAAGAUCAGUACAAAAUGCGACCAGAUGAUUUUUCUCCUGAUAAGUUAAUUUGGGGCCUUCGGUGUAGUAGGUUCUGUCUACCAUCUUCCGCACAUUCUUUGAAGAAUGAAAAUAAGUUGUCAAUGGAAAUAAGUUGUCAACUAUUUUGAAAUAAACAAUAUAAAUUACUUAAUAACUAUGUUAAACUCACAUGGAGGAAGAAUUGGAGGUGUAUCCACAAGGACGCAAAUCGAAGGUCUCUCUUGCUCGAUUGUAGGAUCACCAAGAUCCAUGGUGACAAGCAUACCCUCAUCAAAACCAUACAUCUUGCAAAGUGCUUCCCAAUUUUUGCAACCAAAAUAGGUUACACUCUGAGCAUUGUACAACUUUACUUGAAAAUCCACACCAUGAUGGGUACUUAGGAUAAUUUUUUUGGUUUCCAUACUUUCAUGGUCUUCAAAACCCAUCCUCUCCAAGACAUAGCGUCUUGCAAAGCAUGGGAUAAGCUAGUCGAAUUGGAAAAGAUGAAAAAUACACGUUAAAAUAGUUGAAGUCGUGCUUAAUUACGAAAAAAAUUAUUGUCGUCGUUGCGUACCGUAUGAACAUCGAAGGUCUCCUCGAGCUUAAUGCUGAAGCGCCGAUCUUCGUCCAGCUCAAUGAACCUGUUGCACAUACCUCGGUCGUCGUGGCACCAGUUGCACUCCCCUGGGCGGUUUUCGUCGUCCGAGUACGACAUUUCCGGCCUAUGUUCAUAAUUCAAAUAUUAAACUAGAUCAUUAUUAUUAAUCAUGGGUUGACUAUCGGUGAUGUACGUAGCUCCUCCUUUCAUUCCCGAGUCCAUUAUUACACCAAAUUGUCUAGCACACGGGAAUGAAGGAGAACUUAUCCAAUAUGAGCAUUCAAUAAGCAAAACCAUAUCAUAAAAUAAGCAAAACCAAAUCAUAAAAUAAAGUAGUAUUCAAAUUAGCAUGCAUUCAAUAAUUAGAAGCAAAAGUACAUCAUCUCUUGGUGUCCGUGCAUCGUCGAAUAUUAUCACUAAUAUAGCAUCACUAAUACAACUAGAACCGUAGCGCCCGAUGGGUAUCGUCGCGGGCGGUGGACACCCAAAGAUAAGGAACCAUCACAGGAUCAUAGCUCCAGUGAGAUCCCUGAAGAACCUGCCAGGUAUUGUCGAACCUGCCCUCCAAUGCAACCAUGUAGCGACGGACGUGCUCAUCCUCCUCGCUGACACGGUGACGUACCACCUCCGCGGUGUCCGGAAGCCUCAGCACCAUCACUGGCCCACGCGACCGCCACCAAACAAGGAUCGGGUCAACAACGGGCUGCCUCCUCACCAACCUACGUCCCCCGGAAGGUAGCACCUUCCAAUACCAGCCCGGCGGAGCCCAGUCCCGAACAUUGCCCUGAUCAAGAAGGCCUCCACCGCCGAGUCGACGACGACGAGGAUGCGGGAUAGGCAUCGCCGAAGUCCAUGCGGGAACUACUUCUAUAUAUAGUUAAAUAAAGUAGUUUUAUUAAUUAAAUCAACUAGCUAGUUCAACUACUAAGCACUUACUAUAAAUAAAUAAAGUAGUACUUACUAAAAACAAAGUAGCACUUACUAGAAAUAAAUAAAGUAGCCCUUACUAUAAAUAAAUAAAGUAGCACUUACUACAAACUACUUCUAUAUAUAGUAAAAUAAAUUAGUUUAUUAAAUCAACUAGCUAGUUCAACUAUAUAUGAAGCACUUACUAUAAACAAAAUAAAAUUGUACUUACUAAAAAUAAACUAGUAUUUUUCUAACUAAUUAUAUUAAACACUUUCUCUUCUUAUUUUUUUCCUUUUUCUAAAUACUAUGAACAAAAAAAUCAUUAAAAUUCUAUGAACAAAAUUAAUUACACAAUCUAAAUAUCACCAAAAAAUCUAUUAACAAUAAUAUCACCACACAUGCAUAUUCAACAAUAAUAUCACCAAAAAAAUCUAUUAACAGAAAAAAAAUCUAACACAAUAUGANNNNNNNNNNNNNNNNNNNNNNNNNNNNNNNNNNNNNNNNNNNNNNNNNNNNNNNNNNNNNNNNNNNNNNNNNNNNNNNNNNNNNNNNNNNNNNNNNNNNNNNNNNNNNNNNNNNNNNNNNNNNNNNNNNNNNNNNNNNNNNNNNNNNNNNNNNNNNNNNNNNNNNNNNNNNNNNNNNNNNNNNNNNNNNNNNNNNNNNNNNNNNNNNNNNNNNNNNNNNNNNNNNNNNNNNNNNNNNNNNNNNNNNNNNNNNNNNNNNNNNNNNNNNNNNNNNNNNNNNNNNNNNNNNNNNNNNNNNNNNNNNNNNNNNNNNNNNNNNNNNNNNNNNNNNNNNNNNNNNNNNNNNNNNNNNNNNNNNNNNNNNNNNNNNNNNNNNNNNNNNNNNNNNNNNNNNNNNNNNNNNNNNNNNNNNNNNNNNNNNNNNNNNNNNNNNNNNNNNNNNNNNNNNNNNNNNNNNNNNNNNNNNNNNNNNNNNNNNNNNNNNNNNNNNNNNNNNNNNNNNNNNNNNNNNNNNNNNNNNNNNNNNNNNNNNNNNNNNNNNNNNNNNNNNNNNNNNNNNNNNNNNNNNNNNNNNNNNNNNNNNNNNNNNNNNNNNNNNNNNNNNNNNNGGGGCGGGGCGGUGACGGCGUCGGGGCGGGGCGGCGGCGACGAGGUGGCGGCAGGGGACGGUGUGCGGCGUCGGGAGAGGAGGAGGAGAGAUCGAAGUGGGAAUGCGGUUCUGAAAUUUUCCUAAGUGCUACUUAUAUAGCAAAGGCUUUGGUCCCGGUUCGUGACACAAACCGGGACUAAUGCCACCUUUAGUCCCGGUUGGUGGCACCAACCGGGACCAAAGGCCUCUUUUCAGCAGCCCAAAGGGCGGGAAACCAAGACCUUUGGUCCCGGUUGGUGCCACCACCCGGGACUAAAGAGUGGCAUUGGUCCCGGUUGGUGCCGCCAACCGGGACUAAAGAGGGGCAUUCGUCCCGGUUGGAGCCACCAACCGGUACCAAUGGACCCUUCUAAUUACUUAUUUAUUUUCUGCAGCUGUUUUUUAGUUGAUUCUUUCUGCAGCUGUUUUUUAGUCCCACCUCGCCAAGCGAGAGGCACUCACAGCUGUUUAUAAGCCCUGAGUGCAGAGACGAUGAAGAACAGGCUCAAUGCUCACCUGCACGUUGGUUCGCUUCAAGCCUUGAGGAAUAGGGUAGAAUGCACGGAGCUAUGUGCAGUGCAGUUUACACUAUCUCGAAAGGCUUGAAGCGAAUUAACUAGCAUUGCGCCUCUUUUUUAUUAUUAAUGACUUUUUACCACUCAGAAAUAAAUAGAAAAAAAUAAAUAUAGCAGAAAUAAAAUCUAUAUAAAAAGCUACUCAGAAAUAAAUAGAAGAAAAAAUAGUUGUGAUUAACUUUACUAAAAAAUAGUUGUGAUUAACUUUACUAAAAAAUGAGCAUAGAUGCUCAUUUUUAAUGACUUAUUACCACACAGAAAAAAAUAGAAAAAAAUAAAUAUAGCAGAAAAGAAAGAAAAACUAUAUAAAAAACUACUCANNNNNNNNNNNNNNNNNNNNNNNNNNNNNNNNNNNNNNNNNNNNNNNNNNNNNNNNNNNNNNNNNNNNNNNNNNNNNNNNNNNNNNNNNNNNNNNNNNNNNNNNNNNNNNNNNNNNNNNNNNNNNNNNNNNNNNNNNNNNNNNNNNNNNNNNNNNNNNNNNNNNNNNNNNNNNNNNNNNNNNNNNNNNNNNNNNNNNNNNNNNNNNNNNNNNNNNNNNNNNNNNNNNNNNNNNNNNNNNNNNNNNNNNNNNNNNNNNNNGAGCAUAGAUGCUUAUUUUUAAUGACUUAUUACCACACAGAAAAAAUAGAAAAAAAUAAAUAUAGCAGGAAAGAAAAAAACUAUAUAAAAAACUACUCAGAAAUAAAUAGAAGAAAAAUUAAUUGUGAUUAACUUUACUAAAAUCUUUUUUAUUUUUAAUGACUUAUUACAACUCAGAAAUAAAUAGAAAAAAUAAAUAUAGCAGAAAAGAAAAAAAACUAUAUAAAAAACUACUCAGAAAUAAAUAGAAGAAAAAAUAGUUGUGAUUAACUUUACUAAAAAAAUAAGCAUAGAUGCGCUUAUAGAGAAAAUUAAACCUACAUUCAUAAUAAAUUUCUACUGACUUCAGAGAAAUUCAGUAUGAAUUUAGGUCAAAUUCCCUGUAUAAGGGCAUCUAUUUUCAUUUUGAGAGGAGCUCAACAAGGCAGAGAGGGAGGGGCUUAUAAACCGGUGUGAGCCCCCUUCGGUUGGCGAGAUGGGACUAAACUCUAGCCGCAACGAGGACCAACCCUUUAGUCCCGGUUGGUGGGAUGAACCGGGACUAAUGGGCGGCCUUUGGUUCCGGUUCAUGCUUCCAACCGGGACCAAUAGUGGUGGGCCAGGAGCGAGGACCAUUGGUCCCGGUUCGUGCCACCAACCGGGACCAAAAGGUCCAGACGAACCGGGACCAAUGGCCCACGUGGCCCGGCCGGCCCCUGGGGCUCACGAACCGGGUCCAAUGCCCCCAUUGGUCCCAGUUCUGGAUUGAACCGGGACUAAUGCGUUGUCCUGGCCUGGACCAUUGCCCCCUUUUCUACUAGUGAUAUAGCUAUAUUGUACUUGUUACCAGCCUUAUAUAAUGGGAUCGAGGAAGUAAAAUUAGUCAGCCCAUUAAUUGGCACCAAAUCUCCGGUUAUUGGUUUAUCGGCGAUUUUUUUAGAUCUUCCAUUGUUUAUGACGGAAUCUGUAUGACAUCAGAUACAAAAUAGACGGUCCAGAUGCUUCCAAUGUUAAGUGUCGAGUGACGACCUAUGGCUUCACCAACUCCAAUUUAAGAGCCUGUUUGGGACUGGUCUGCUCCUUCAAAUUCAGCUCCGCUUCAGAAAACACAAGCCAAACGGGGUAGCGCCACAAUAUACCGCUCCACAAAAAAACUAGAAUCUGGUGUACAGCUCCGAGUUUUUUAUGAAGCUCUUCAGGGGGUGCUCCAAAAAACUCUAGAAGCUGGACUUGGGUGGAAAUUACCCACCACUGCCACCAGUAAGUGGAUACCCCUUCGUUUCUCCCCCCUCAACCAAUCAAAUAGAUUCUUUCCACCAAAUAUCUCAUUCUUGAAGCUGGAGCUAGAUGGCAGCCAAACAUUCUCCUUGAUAGUACUACAACUUCUAGGUGAAACUGCUCCAAAGUAAAUUUAGUGGAGCGAAACCGAUUUUUGUGAAGCGGAGCAGUCCCAAACAUGCCCUAAGAGUAAAGAUCAAUUUGACAGUGUGUGUGUGUCUCUCUCUCUAAUAUAUAUAUAUAUAUAUAUAUAUAUAUAUAUAUAUAUAUAUANNNNNNNNNNNNNNNNNNNNNNNNNNNNNNNNNNNNNNNNNNNNNNNNNNNNNNNNNNNNNNNNNNNNNNNNNNNNNNNNNNNNNNNNNNNNNNNNNNNNGAAUAUGUGAGUGUUGAUGACCGACACGUAAACGCACCCCGGGGUUCGUCAAUCGUGGAAAUGACUCCGAUACCCCAAAAUAGAGUAAGAGUCCAAGAAACGGGCCAGAAUCGACCCAAACUGUGAUUGUUGAUGACUGACACGUAAGUGCACCUUGGAGUUUGACAACCAUGGAAUUCGCUUUGGGACCCGAAAACGGUGAGUAAUAGUCCAUGAAACGGGCCAGAAUCGGCCAAAACUGCGAGUGUUGUUGACCAACACGUAAGCACAUCUUGGGGUUCAACAACUAUGGAAAUCGCUACGGGACCCCAAAACGGUGAGUAAUAGUCCGCGAAACAGGUCAGAAUUGGCCAAAACUGUGAGUGUUGAUGACGGACACAUAAACGCACCCCGGGGUUCAUCAAUCGUGGAAAUCGCUCUGGGUCCCCAAAACGCUGAGUAAUAGUGCACGGAACGGACUUGAAUCGGCCGAAUAUGUCAGUGUUGAUGACCGACACGUAAACGCACCCCGGGGUUAGUCCAUCAUAGAAAUGACUCCGAGACCCCAAAAUAGAGUAAUAGUCCAAGAAACAGGCCACAAUCGGCCCAAACUAUGGUUGUUUAUAACAGACACGUAAGCGCACCUUGGAGUUCGACAACCAUGGAAAUCGCUUUGGGACCCCAAAACGGUGAGUUAUAGUCCAUGAAACGGGCCAGAAUUGGCCAAAACUAGGAGUGUUGAUGACCAACGCGUAAGCACACCUUGGGGUUCAACAACUAUGGAAAUCUCUUUGGGACCCCAAAACGGUUAGUAAUAGUCCACGAAGCAGGUCAAAAUUGGCCAAAACUGUGACUGUUGAUGACGGUCACAUAAACGCACCCCGGGGUUCAUCAAUCGUGGAAAUCGCUCUGGGUCCCGAAAACGCUGAGUAAUAGUGCACGAAACGGACUAGAAUCGGCGGAAUAUGUGAGUGUUGAUGACCGACGCGUAAACGCACCCCGGGAUUCGUCAAUAGUGGAAACAACUCCGUGACCCCAAAAUAGAGUAAUAGUCCAAGAAACGGGCCAGAAUCGGCCCAAACUGUGAUUGUUGAUGACCGACACGUAAGCGCACCUUGGAGUUCGACAAUGAUGGAAAUCGCUUUGGGACCCCAAAACGGUGAGUAAUAGUCCAUGAAACGGGCCAGAAUCGGCCAAAACUAGGAGUGUUGAUAACCAACUCGUAAGCACACCUUGGGGUUCAACAACUAUGAAAAUCGCUUCGGGGCCCCCAAAACGGUGAGUAAUAGUCCACGAAACAGGUCAGAUUUGGCCAAAACUAUGAGUGUUGACGACGGACACAUAAACGCACCCCGGGGUUCAUUAAUCGUGGAAAUCGCUCUGGGUCCCCAAAACGCUGAGUAAUAGUGCACGGAACGUAUUAGAAUCGGCCGAAUAUGUGAGUGUUGAUGACCGACACGUAAACGCACCCCGGGGUUCGUCAAUCGUGGAAAUGACUCCGAUACCCCAAAAUAGAGUAAGAGUCCAAGAAACGGGCCAGAAUCGACCCAAACUGUGAUUGUUGAUGACUGACACGUAAGUGCACCUUGGAGUUUGACAACCAUGGAAUUCACUUUGGGACCCGAAAACGGUGAGUAAUAGUCCAUGAAACGGGCCAGAAUCGGCCAAAACUGCGAGUGUUGUUGACCAACACGUAAGCACAUCUUGGGGUUCAACAACUAUGGAAAUCGCUACGGGACCCCAAAACGGUGAGUAAUAGUCCGCGAAACAGGUCAGAAUUGGCCAAAACUGUGAGUGUUGAUGACGGACACAUAAACGCACCCCGGGGUUCAUCAAUCGUGGAAAUCGCUCUGGGUCCCCAAAACGCUGAGUAAUAGUGCACGGAACGGACUUGAAUCGGCCGAAUAUGUGAGUGUUGAUGACCGACACGUAAACGCACCCCGGGGUUAGUCAAUCAUAGAAAUGACUCCGAGACCCCAAAAUAGAGUAAUAGUCCAAGAAACAGGCCAGAAUCGGCCCAAACUGUGAUUGUUGAUGACCGACACGUAAGCGCACCUUGGAGUUCGACAAUGAUGGAAAUCGCUUUGGGACCCCAAAACGGUGAGUAAUAGUCCAUGAAACGGGCCAGAAUCGGCCAAAACAAGGAGUGUUGAUAACCAACUCGUAAGCACACCUUGGGGUUCAACAACUAUGAAAAUCGCUUCGGGGCCCCCAAAACGGUGAGUAAUAGUCCACGAAACAGGUCAGAUUUGGCCAAAACUAUGAGUGUUGACGACGGACACAUAAACGCACCCCGGGGUUCAUUAAUCGUGGAAAUCGCUCUGGGUCCCCAAAACGCUGAGUAAUAGUGCACGGAACGUAUUAGAAUCGGCCGAAUAUGUGAGUGUUGAUGACCGACACGUAAACGCACCCCGGGGUUCGUCAAUCGUGGAAAUGACUCCGAUACCCCAAAAUAGAGUAAGAGUCCAAGAAACGGGCCAGAAUCGACCCAAACUGUGAUUGUUGAUGACUGACACGUAAGUGCAACUUGGAGUUUGACAACCAUGGAAUUCGCUUUGGGACCCGAAAACGGUGAGUAAUAGUCCAUGAAACGGGCCAGAAUCGGCCAAAACUGCGAGUGUUGUUGACCAACACGUAAGCACAUCUUGGGGUUCAACAACUAUGGAAAUCGCUACGGGACCCCAAAACGGUGAGUAAUAGUCCGCGAAACAGGUCAGAAUUGGCCAAAACUGUGAGUGUUGAUGACGGACACAUAAACGCACCCCGGGGUUCAUCAAUCGUGGAAAUCGCUCUGGGUCCCCAAAACGCUGAGUAAUAGUGCACGGAACGGACUUGAAUCGGCCGAAUAUGUGAGUGUUGAUGACCGACACGUAAACGCACCCCGGGGUUAGUCAAUCAUAGAAAUGACUCCGAGACCCCAAAAUAGAGUAAUAGUCCAAGAAACAGGCCAGAAUCGGCCCAAACUGUGAUUGUUGAUGACCGACACGUAAGCGCACCUUGGAGUUCGACAAUGAUGGAAAUCGCUUUGGGACCCCAAAACGGUGAGUAAUAGUCCAUGAAACGGGCCAGAAUCGGCCAAAACAAGGAGUGUUGAUAACCAACUCGUAAGCACACCUUGGGGUUCAACAACUAUGAAAAUCGCUUCGGGGCCCCCAAAACGGUGAGUAAUAGUCCACGAAACAGGUCAGAUUUGGCCAAAACUAUGAGUGUUGACGACCGACACAUAAACGCACCCCGGGGUUCAUUAAUCGUGGAAAUCGCUCUGGGUCCCCAAAACGCUGAGUAAUAGUGCACGGAACGUAUUAGAAUCGGCCGAAUAUGUGAGUGUUGAUGACCGACACGUAAACGCACCCCGGGGUUCGUCAAUCGUGGAAAUGACUCCGAUACCCCAAAAUAGAGUAAGAGUCCAAGAAACGGGCCAGAAUCGACCCAAACUGUGAUUGUUGAUGACUGACACGUAAGUGCACCUUGGAGUUUGACAACCAUGGAAUUCGCUUUGGGACCCGAAAACGGUGAGUAAUAGUCCAUGAAACGGGCCAGAAUCGGCCAAAACUGCGAGUGUUGUUCACCAACACGUAAGCACAUCUUGGGGUUCAACAACUAUGGAAAUCGCUACGGGACCCCAAAACGGUGAGUAAUAGUCCGCGAAACAGGUCAGAAUUGGCCAAAACUGUGAGUGUUGAUGACGGACACAUAAACGCACCCCGGGGUUCAUCAAUCGUGGAAAUCGCUCUGGGUCCCCAAAACGCUGAGUAAUAGUGCACGGAACGGACUUGAAUCGGCCGAAUAUGUGAGUGUUGAUGACCGACACGUAAACGCACCCCGGGGUUAGUCCAUCAUAGAAAUGACUCCGAGACCCCAAAAUAGAGUAAUAGUCCAAGAAACAGGCCACAAUCGGCCCAAACUAUGGUUGUUUAUAACAGACACGUAAGCGCACCUUGGAGUUCGACAACCAUGGAAAUCGCUUUGGGACCCCAAAACGGUGAGUUAUAGUCCAUGAAACGGGCCAGAAUUGGCCAAAACUGGGAGUGUUGAUGACCAACGCGUAAGCACACCUUGGGGUUCAACAACUAUGGAAAUCUCUUUGGGACCCCAAAACGGUUAGUAAUAGUCCACGAAGCAGGUCAAAAUUGGCCAAAACUGUGACUGUUGAUGACGGUCACAUAAACGCACCCCGGGGUUCAUCAAUCGUGGAAAUCGCUCUGGGUCCCGAAAACGCUGAGUAAUAGUGCACGAAACGGACUAGAAUCGGCGGAAUAUGUGAGUGUUGAUGACCGAUGCGUAAACGCACCCCGGGAUUCGUCAAUAGUGGAAACAACUCCGUGACCCCAAAAUAGAGUAAUAGUCCAAGAAACGGGCCAGAAUCGGCCCAAACUGUGAUUGUUGAUGACCCACACGUAAGCGCACCUUGGAGUUCGACAAUGAUGGAAAUCGCUUUGGGACCCCAAAACGGUGAGUAAUAGUCCAUGAAACGGGCCAGAAUCGGCCAAAACUAGGAGUGUUGAUAACCAACUCGUAAGCACACCUUGGGGUUCAACAACUAUGAAAAUCGCUUCGGGGCCCCCAAAACGGUGAGUAAUAGUCCACGAAACAGGUCAGAUUUGGCCAAAACUAUGAGUGUUGACGACGGACACAUAAACGCACCCCGGGGUUCAUUAAUCGUGGAAAUCGCUCUGGGUCCCCAAAACGCUGAGUAAUAGUGCACGGAACGGACUUGAAUCGGCCGAAUAUGUGAGUGUUGAUGACCGACACGUAAACGCACCCCGGGGUUAGUCAAUCAUAGAAAUGACUCCGAGACCCCAAAAUAGAGUAAUAGUCCAAGCAACAGGCCACAAUCGGCCCAAACUAUGGUUGUUGAUAACAGACACGUAAGCGCACCUUGGAGUUCGACAACCAUGGAAAUCGCUUUGGGACCCCAAAACGGUGAGUUAUAGUCCAUGAAACGGGCCAG